AACACUACUCCGCAUCCAUAACCUAUCAACACCACUUUCCAACCAAAAGCAAUGUUUGAUUUUGAGCCAUCUUUUUCAAGCACAUUUGGAGGUGCUGCCUCAAUGAUGUUGCAACCUUUCGAGACCGGAAAUCCACAUAGUCCCUUAUUUCCUUCAUAUGAAUCAUUUCCAAAUGUGUUGAAUUGUUUUCCUUGAGGAAUCUGACCAUGGAGUUGAUUUUCAGAAACAUUUAAGGACGAAGGAAAUGGCAGAUCUGCCAAUCUAUUUGGAAUCGUCCCAGACAACCUGUUUGAAGAUAGGUCCAACCAUUCAAGACUUGUCAAAUUCCCUAAUGAGGUUGGGAUAUCACCAUUAAGGUUAGUAUGAGAAAGGUUGAGCCCUUUCAGUAAGUUAAGCUUCCCAAAAACCUUUGGAAUACCCCCUUCAAACUGAUUGUUUGAUAGAUCAAUGAUCAUCCACAAGGUGAAAAUUUUCACCAAUUCCAUAUAUUGUCCUUUCAUAACAAUUCCAAUGGAAUAGGUAUAGAAGCCACUACCUCUCUGAACAUACACCCCCAUGUACGACAUUGUACUCCCAAUCUUCUCUAGAUUUAUGAUACCCUUGAAGCUGUUGAUGUAUCUCACUGGUAGAGGUCCAGAAAAAUAAUUACUUGAGAGAUCAAAAAUUUGGUCAUUAAAUAUGUCAUUUUCUAUUAACUGCAAGAAAACUAUCCGGUAAACUGCAUCUUCUAUGGUCCUUCAAUUUUUUUUUUAAAAGUCAUUUUAACUCUUCAUUUAAUAUUUCGCCUUUUUGAGCUUUUAAAUUUGUGUUAUUUAUCAAAUCAUCCCAAAAUGGAUAAAAAAAAUUAACAUUUGUUAACUUUAUUGACAAGACAUACAUAUCGAUAUCAUAUGAACAAUUAAUUGAUUUUUAAAUUUUAAAAAUUUAAAAAUAAAACAUAUAUUAAAAUUUUUCAUCUUUUUUAGCCCUUAAACCUACAUUGUUUAUCAAAUAACUCUUAAACUUACAUUGUUUAUCAGAUGAAAAAAUUAAUAUCUAUUAACUUUGCUAACAUGCAUACAUAUGCAACUUCAUUUAAAUCAAAAAAAUAUAAAAAUAAUUAAAUAUGUAUAAAUCUAAAAAUAUCUUAAAAUUAAAACUAAAAUUUUUUAAACUAUUAAUCGUUUGAAUAAAUAAAACAUACACAUGGAUUAAAUUAGCUAUUAAUCAUUUGAAUAAAUAAAACAUACACAUGGAUUAAUUAAUUAAUCCACAAGCAAUGUUCAUAUAUAGCUUAUAAGACAAAAGUUAAAACAGCCUUCAGUUCAUCUACAUUCCACGUCAAAUCUGCAAGCAUCAAAUAUUAACCUUUGAACUCCAUAAUAACAACACCAAUUUCUAGCAAUUGCAGAAGAAUGUCCAAUCAUUCCACACAAAUCAACAACAAUUUGCAGCAUCCACUACAUUCAUAUGAAUUCCUCACAAAUUAAGACUGCAAAUUCUAACUUGAUUAUACCCUCAAUGAAGCUACCUAAAAGAUAUGAAUUCCACUGCAAAUUUUGUAUUGCUUGGAAUGAAUAUUACUAUUUCCAUUUUAGCAAUUAAAGCAACCUAUAUGUACCCUUUUACAGUCUGCAUUGUUCCAUGUUUCAAUUCAUUCCAUCAUUCCUUCCACUCUGCUAUAUAUUAUUACUUUCUCCUUAUAACCAAACCUUUUACGGCUAACUUGUAAAAAAAUUAUGACAAUACAACAGAGAUCAUUGACACAUUUUGUUCUCCUUUCUCCUUUACUGAGCAGUAGCAAAGAUUAUCGAGACUAAAUUGAAAGUCAUGAAAGAAGACAUAAACAACUCCACCAUACAAAAUGUUACACUCAAACAAACCAUUACAGAUAGUACGAAAUGCAAUGAAAGACAGAGGAAUUGGUACGAUAAUAAAGACAGACACGUACCAAUGCAACCCUUCACCAUAGGCAAAACGGUCUACAGAACAAGAAACUAUGAAAAUGCAACACUAAUUCUUGAACAUCAUUUGCAGUAAUUAGAUCCUUCUUCGUCUAUUGCUUCGAUGGCCUUUCUUUGACAUUCUUCUUCGCCUCAUCUCUUGUUGGUUUUCAACCAAAUUCCCAACCAUUUCGGCUUACCAGUUUGGAAAACAACAUAUCCCACGGACAUUCCGAACACCACUCCGCAUCCAUAACCUAUCAACACCACUUUCCAACCAAAAGGAAUGUUUGAUUUUGAGCCAUCUUUUUCAAGCACAUUUGGAGGUGCUGGCUCAAUGAUGUUGCAACCUUUCGAGACCGGAAACCCACAGAGUCCCUUAUUCGCUUCAUAUGAAUCAUUUCCAAAUGUGUUGAAUUGUUUUCCUUGAGGAAUCUGACCAUGGAGUUGAUUUUCAGAAACAUUUAAGGACGAAAGAAAUGGCAGAUCUGCCAAUCUAUUUGGAAUCGUCCCAGACAACCUGUUUGAAGAUAGGUCCAACCAUUCAAGAUUCGUCAAAUUCCCUAUUGAGGUGGGGAUACCACCAUUAAGGUUAUUAUGAGAAAGGUUGAGCCCUUUCAGUAAGUUAAGCUUCCCAAUAACCUUUGGAAUACCCCCUUCAAACUGAUUGUUUGACAGAUCAAUGAUCAUCCACAAGGUGAAAAUUUUCACCAAUUCCAUAUAUUGUCCUUUCAUAACAAUUCCAAUGGAAUAGGUAUAGAAGCCACCAGUAAAAUCUUGCACACCCAUGUAUGGCCUUGCACUACCUUUUUUCUUGAGAUUGAUGAUAGCAUUGAAGCUGUUGAUGUAUCUCACUGGUAGGGGUCCAGAAAAAUAGUUACUUGAGAGGUCAAAAAUUUGGAUUUUAGAGAAAAAAGGGCUAGACUUGGAGCUAUUGACACGCAAGGAACCAUGCAUAUGAUUUGACUUCAAUACAAGAACUUGUAGCUGUGGAAGACUUCCCAACCAAUGAGGAAAUGUAUCGUUGAUCUUGUUGUUACCAAGAUCUAGCACUUCCAGACCAUUACAAUUAAGGAUGGAUGGUGUCAAAGGCCCUUCUAACAGAUUUCCAUUUAAGUUGAAAUCACUCAAUUGGCAUCCCUUUGCAAAUGUUGGAGGAAUCGUCCCAUAGAACUUGUUCUUCUUCAGAUUCAAGAAUUGAAGGCUGUUGCUUAAAUUUCCAAAACAUUGCGGAAUUGUUCCACUCAAGUUAUUGUGGGACAAAUCAAGAAUUCGAAGAGAAGUGAGAUUGCAGAUUAAAGAAGAGACCUCUCCAUUGAAACUAUUAUUUGAGAUCAGGAAGACACUGAUCUUCGAAGCUGGAAUCGGAAGAUUUCCACGGAUCAAAUUGGAGCUUAAGUCGAGAGCUUCAAUAUUCUUCCAUGGAAAGUGCUCAACUUCUGCCAAAGAGUUAUGAGAUACAUUUAAGUAAGCCAAAAAGCCAUUCCCCACCUCUUGCAUCCACUGUGGAAUCUUACCUUCAAUUCUGUUGCAAGAGAGGUCUAAGCUUUUCAAACUUUUAAGCCCUUUCAAAAAUUGGGGGAAUUCACUAAGAUUGCAAGAUGACAAAAAUAAGCUUGCAAGAUUUACAGUAGAAGUAGUAUUAGAUGUUAAGGAUAGGCUGUUAUAUGAAAGGUCGAGAAUUUCUAGAUUUGUAGGUUUGAGAACAUGCGAAACUCUAUGACACCACUAAGAUUAUUUGAGGAUAAAACGAGUUCGGUAAGAUUGAGAAGUUGGAAUAUUGAAGAUGGAAAAGGACCUUGGAGUUUAUUAUUGUUUAGAUAUAAAUAUUCUAGUGAUUUGGAUUGGAAUUCUUUGAUAUGCCCACUGAAUUGAUUUUGAGAGAGAUCUAUAUCCUUUAAGGAGGGAGCAGUAUACAACCAUGACGGAAGUGUUCCAUUGAGAAAAUUGUCAUAUAAGUCUAAAUAUAUUAGAUUAGGAAAAGCGGUUACCUCAUCUGGAAUGGAACCUUCUAAAGAAUUGUUAUAUAUUGCCAAGUAUUCCAGCUGCGUUAGGUUUAGAAUUGACAAUGGAAUUUGUCCACUCAAUUUGUUCCAUCCCAAUUCUAAAUGAGUGAGUUGCAAGAGGUUCCCCAAUGAUCUUGGAAUUUGUCCCCUCAAUUGGUUCUGCCACAAGUCUAAAUAAGUGAGUUGCAAGAGGUUCCCCAACGAACUUGGAAUUUCUCCACUCAAUUGGUUCUGCGAUAAGUCUAAAUGAGUGAGUUGCAAGAGGUUCCUCAAUGAUCUUGGAACCGGUCCUGAUAAGUUGGACUGGGAGAGAACUAAAAACUUCAAGGACACAAGAUUCCCCAUCGAGUCAGGCAAUUCUCCAAAAAUAUUUGCGCCUGAAAUUAUCAAUUGCUCCAAAGAUGAUAAGUUUGUGAUUGAGACUGGCAAUCCUUGAACGAAAGAAUUUCCUGAUAGAUCUAAGUACUUUAGGGCCUGUAGAUUAUCAACUGAAUCAAUGAAUUCUGUAGAGGAGGACAUGGACGACAGAUCCAAAUGUUCAAGAUUGCUGCUCCGAUUGAACUUCAAAGGAUCAAGAUUGAGGUUUUGGUUGCCUCCCAAGUUGAGGAGAUUGAGGUUUGGCAAAUCAAAAAUGUUUUUUGGGAAUUUUCCUUGCAAAUCACAACCAGCAAGACUGAGAGACCUUAGAGAAGAGGAUAGAUUCAUGAAGACAUGAGCAUUAACAGAAGACAUGUCCAUUCCAUCCAAAAACAGAUGUCUGACCUCGGUUAGGUUGUGAACAAGUCCCUCCAGAGCAUGUUUGUCAAUUGUUAGUACAUUAGCCCAAAAGGAGAGAUCAAGUGAAACCAAUUUCGACAGGUGGGAGACUUGGGAUGGGACUUCUCCUGCAAACAAUGUAUUGGAAAGGUUGAGGUAGAAUAGGCUUGUAAACCGACCGAACUCGGAUGGAAUUUUGGAAUGAUUAAAAUCAUUGUAGGCAAGGUUGAAUUUUUGAAGGUGAGGAAGAAGGAAGAGAGUUGUAUUGGAAGGGAAGUUGCCAUAUAGCCAACUGCAGCUCAAGUCAAGGGCAAUAACAUGAGCAUUUAGGUGGUCACAAGUGACUCCAUCCCAUGAGCAGCAAUCUGUACCCUCCUUCCAUGAAUUUGUCUUGGGAUAAGAUUUAUGGCCAGCAAUCUCAUCGCAAUACAAAGCAGCGUGGUCUGUCUGAGUGAUCGAAAAUGAAUUCUUGAACUGGAUUAGAGAAGCAGCUUCGUGGUGAGAGCAGGAGUGAGAUCCUGAAGAAGAAGCAUAAAAAUGGGGAAAGAAGAGGAAUAGGCAGAGAAAGAGAUAGGGGGCCAUGUUAUGGUUGUAGAGGAAGAUGAAGGAUAGGAAUGGCAUUUAUAGGCAACAAAUAAUACCACAACAUUGCUGUUACAGUCUUUUAUUUCUUUUACAUUGAAAAGAUAUGGAUAUUAGAUUUUUAAAAAUUUUGUAUUUUUCACAAUCAUCAACAACCACUUAGUCUUCUUUUUACCAUUAUUUUUCAUUCUUAAAGUUAGAUUUUUUUUUUAGCAAAAUCUUGUAUUUCUUUUGAACUCCUUAAACAACUAAAAAAAUUAAGAUUGACUUAGUCUUCUUCCCUAUAACACUAAAGAAUGUGUAUCUGUUCACUUGCCUGUCAACCAAAGCUAAUUAAUGUGGAGAUUCUUUUCCAAACGAAAGAAUAAAAUUGUGCUCUAUUCACUACGUUUGAGGAAUAAGACUGUUAAAAUUUUAAUCCACCGAUUCCAUAAAAAUGUGUUUAUAUAUUUACAACCUCAUAAUUCAAAUCUAAAAUCUCAUUUGUUAUAAAUUUUGAUAAAUUUAUUUGGGAAUAGCUAGUUUUCAUUCGUUAAUUAUUUCUCUUUUAAUCAAGUAAAAUAUUAAAACUAAAAAGAUAUAAUGAUUUAUUUGGCAUUUUUUAACUUUACAAACAAAAAGUGAUUUUAGCUUUUCUUUUUUUUUUUUUCCGUCUCUUUUAGUCUUUAAACUUGUAUGAUUCGUUAAAUCACCCAAAAAACAUGAUGUAAAAGUUUAAGUACCCAAUUGAGUGGGAAAAAAAUAAGGGUUUAAUUACUUUUUUUGAAGAAGUUUGAGAGUAUUUUUUAUGCAAUUUAAAAGUUUAAGUGCUUAAUUGAGUGUAAAGAAAAAAGAGGAGGGAUUUAAUUUUUUUUUUUUGAAAAAAUUUGAGGGUAUUUUACACCUUAAGCCAAUAAAAAAAACAUGUAUAUCUUCAUACUUUAAAUAAUUUAUUUAUCAUUUAAAUAGUAAUCUGUGAUUUUAUAAUAGAAUAUGCGUUAAAGGAUUCUGGAAAGUAAAGGAUCUGCACGCACACAGACAUGUUGCGAAGAUUGGGUGAAAUACUAGCUGUCAGGUUGUCUUUUUAUGUGUUUUUGACCUCCAAUUAAAUGUAAAAAAAUGUUUUUUUUUUCUGUUGGUAAUGAACAGGAGCCAAAUGUUGAAGUGGCUGGAACUUGUCUUGUAUUGCUUGCCUGCAGAUUUUGGUAUGUUUGAAUGUAUGGAGAUGUGCCAAGUGGAACUAUUUUGGGGCUUAUCACUACCUCUAUGUCACACAACAGAACACAAAAUAAAAUAAUCAAAUCAGAUCUUUGAAUAUUGAAAUACCAAAAGUUAAAAGAGUACAUGCACUAAAAUACAGUAGAAUACAAUGGAAAUAAUUUUUUAUUUUUUUUAGAUUGUAAAUAAGUAUACAUUAUUGUUGUAAAAUAUAGUCGAAAAUACUUUUUUGUUAAAAUUGGAAUAAACACAUUGUGGAUGAAAAUUUUUAAUACAAUACAAAUUGAUCAUUAACAAAUUAAAUGACGAUUUACAUGAGAAAAAUAAAAAUAAAAAAAAGAAACACCGGCGUUGUUUGCCCGAAUGUGUGCCACAACCCAGUGGGUGUUAGUUACGAAAAGGAUUCUAGCUCUUUCUCUUCUUCACCUCCACCUCCAAUUGAUCUUCAUCUUCAUCUCGUUCCUCCGUGCUAGUAUGGAUUAAAUUCUUGCAAUACAGGGGAGAGAAACCUAGUUUUCCCGUAAACUUAUUAUCAAAAAAGUUGAACAAUUUCAAGUUCCAGCAAAUGGAAAGGGGCUUAGCGGUCUUACUCACACUGGACCUAGCACCUAGGUGGUUUGGCUAAUAGUGGGCUAAGAAAUCUUGAAUGGCGAUAUGGGUUGGGGCUUCCGAGGAGUACAAAUAACCUCUGAGUUUUUUUUUUUCAAAUUUGACGAGCAUCUAGAAUAACUAGUGAAUUACAAUUCUAUUGUACCACAAUCGGUGCAUUGGUCUUUGCGGACUUAAUGUGUUUUGCUUGUUGGUUCUAUUAUCACAAAGCGAACCCAAAAUUGGCUUGGUUCCAAGAUGUAGAAUUUAUGUUGAAUCACCAUUUAGCAAGGUUACUGGGGCUUGUUUCCCUUUCUUGGGCAGGGCAUCAAGUACAUGUCUCUUUACCAAUAAACCAAUUUUUAAAUGCUUUAGUAGACUCUAAAGAGAUCUCACUUCCCCAUGAAUUUUUAUUGAAUCAUGAUCUUUUGGCUCAACUUUAUCCUAGUUUUGAUGAGGGAACAACUCCAUUUUUUACCUUGAAUUGGUCAAAAUAUGCAAAAUUUCUUACUUUUCGUGGAUGAUUAAAUCCAAUGAUUGGGGGGUCCAUGGUUGACUGAUAUUGCACACCAUCAUUUAGCUAUUACAAUUCCUUUCCUAAUAGUACGUCACAUGUAUAAGACCAAUUGGGGCAAUGGACAUAGCCUAAAAGAUAUUUUAGAGGCUAUAGAAGUCCAUUCAUAGGCCAAGGACAUAAAGAACUAUAUGAAAUCGUAACAACAACAUGGCAUGCUCAAUGAUCUCUUAAUUUAGUUAUGUUAGGCUCUUUAACCAUUGUUGUAGAUCACCAUACGUAUUCCAUGUCCCCUUAUCCAUAUCUAACUACUGACUACGGUACACAACUAUCAUUGUUCACACAUCACAUGUGGAUUGGUGGAUUUCUGAUAAUGGGUGUUGUAUGGUAAAAAUUAGUUGUAUUCAUUCUUCACAUAGUUGAUCUUUUGUUGUGGAAGUAUUGUAUUUCUGGUAAUCCAUUAAGUAUUCAGUGUUUGAUACAAUAGAUUUGCAUUUUAUUAUUGUAUUUUGUGGAAGGAUCCUUUUUCUAUUUUGUUUUUUGCAUUUCUGAUAAGUUUACAUUUUUCAGUAAUUAAUUUAUGUUGUUUUAGCCAAACUUUGUAGCGUUUCAGUUUUGGUAAAAUUUCAUCCUUGGUCCCUUUAAACUUCUUUUUGCUUUAAUUUGAUUCCUUUCUAGCGUUGCAAAUUACAUAACACUCUUCAAAUGUCUUAUUAAAUUCUCACUUGUACGAGUGCUAUGUUAAUCAAUUUUAAGUUCCAUAUAACACUUACAUGGCCACAAAAUGUGUGUGUGUGUGUAAGUGUCCUCAACCACAAACAAUCCAAAUUUGCUGAGAAACCACCCACUGUAUAUAGGUUUGCCAAUGAGAUGGCAAGCAGACUGCUAGCUAGAAAUUCAUGCAUCUUUGAAUCACCAAUUCAAUUAAUAAGCUUAACUAGAGGAAAUAAGGACUUUACACCACCAAUUAAAGCAACCUAUAUGUACCCUUUUACAGUCUGCAUUGUUCCAUGUUUCCAUUCAUUACAUCAUUCCUUCAACUCUGCUAUAUACUAUUACCGUCUCCAUAUAACCAAACCUUUUACUGCUAACUUCUAAAAGAAUUAUGAAAAUACAACAGAGAUCAUUGAGACAUUUUGUUCUCCUUUCUCCUUUACUGAGCAGUAGCAAAGAUUAUCGAGACUAAAUUGUAAGUCAUGAAAGAAGACAUAAACAACACCACCAUACAAAAUGUCACACUCAAACAAACCAUUACAGAUAGUACGAAAUGCAAUGAAAGACAGAGGAAUUGGUACAAUAAUAAAUACAGACACAUACCAAUGCAACCCUUCACCAAAGGCAAAACGGUCUACAGAACAAGAAAUUAUGAAAAUACAACACUAAUUCUUAAACAUCAUUUGCAGUAAUUAGAUCCUUCUUCGUCUAUCGCUUCGAUUGCCUUUCUUUGACUUUCUUCUUCGCCUCUUCUCUUGUUGGUUUUCAACCAAAUUCACCAACCAUUUCGGCUUACCAGUUUCGAAAACAACAUAUCCCACGGACAUUCCGAACACCACUCCGCAUCCAUAGCCUAUCAACACCACUUUCCAACCAAAAGCAAUGUUUGAUUUUGAGCCAUCUUUUUCAAGCACAUUUGGAGGUGCUGGCUCAAUGAUGUUGCAACCUUUCGAGACCGGAAAUCCACAUAGUCCCUUAUUUCCUUCAUAUGAAUCAUUUCCAAAUGUGUUGAACUGUUUGCCUUGAGGAAUCUGACCAUGGAGUUGAUUUUCAGAAACAUUGAAGGACGAAAGAAAAGGCAGAUCUGCCAAUCUAUUUGGAAUCGUCCCAGACAACCUGUUUGAAGAUAGGUCCAACCAUUCAAGACUUGUCAAAUUCCCUAUUGAGGUGGGGAUACCACCACUAAGGUUAUUAUGAGAAAGGUUGAGCCCUUUCAGUAAGUUAAGCUUCCCAAAAACCUUUGGAAUACCCCCUUCAAACUGAUUGUUUGAUAGAUCAAUGAUCAUCCACAUGGUGAAAAUUUUCACCAAUUCCAUAUAUUGUCCUUUCAUAACAAUUCCAAUGGAAUAGGUAUAGAAGCCACUACCUCUCUGAACAUACACCCCCAUGUACGACAUUGUACUCCCAAUCUUCUCUAGAUCUAUGAUAGCCUUGAAGCUGUUGAUGUAUCUCACUGGUAGGGGUCCAGAAAAAUAAUUACUUGAGAGGUCAAAAAUUUGGAUUUUAGAGAAAAAAGGGCUAGACUUGGAGCUAUUGACACGCAAGGAACCAUGCAUAUGGUUUGACUUCAAUACAAGAACUUGCAAAUAUGGAAGACUUCCCAACCAAUGAGGAAAUGUAUCAUUGAUCUUGUUGUUACCAAGAUCUAGCACUUCUAGACCUCUACAAUUAAGGAUGGAUGGUGUCAAUGGCCCUUCUAACAGAUUUCCAUUUAAGUUGAAAUUAGUCAAUCGGCAUCCCUGUGCAAAAUUUGGAGGAAUCGUCCCAUAGAACUUGUUCUUCUUCAGAUUCAAGAAUUCAAGGCUGUUGCUCAAAUUUCCAAAACAUCGCGGAAUUGUUCCACUCAAGUUAUUGUGGGACAAAUCAAGAACUCGAAGAGAAGUGGCAUUGCAGAUUAAAGAAGAGACCUCUCCAUUCAAACUGUUAUUUGAGAUCAAAAAGAAAUUGAUGGUCGAAGCUGGAAUCGGAAGAUUUCCACUGAUCAAAUUGGAGCUUAAGUCAAGAACUUCAAUAUUCUUCCAUGGAAAGUGCUCAACUUCUGUCAAAGAGUUGUGAGAUACGUUUAAGUAAGUCAAAGAGCCAUUCCCCACCUCUUGCAUCCACUGUGGAAUCUUGCCUUCAAUUUUGUUGCAAGAGAGGUCUAAGCUUUCCAAACUUUUAAGCCCUUUUAAAAAUUGGGGGAAUUCACUAAGAUUGCAAGAUGACAAAAGUAAGUCUGUAACAUUAGGCAAUAUAUGAUUAACACUAGAUGUAGCAUUAGAUGUUAAGGAUAGGCUGUUAUAUGAAAGGUCGAGAUGUUUUAGAUUUGGAACGUUUGAGAACAUGCGAAACUCUAUGACACCACUAAGAUUAUUUGAGGAUAAAAGGAGCCAGGUAAGAUUGAGAAGUUGGAAUAUUGAAGAUGGAAGAGGACCUUGGAGUUUAUUAUUUUCUAGAUCUAAAUAUUCUAGUGAUUUGGUUUGGAAUUCUUUGAUAUGCCCACUGAAUUGAUUUUGAGAGAGAAUUAUACCCUUUAAGGAGGGAGCAGUAUACAACCAUGACGGAAGUGUUCCAUUGAGUACAUUGUCAAAUAAGACUAAAUAUAUUAGAUUCGGAACAGCGGUUACCUCAUCUGGAAGAGAACCUUCUAAAGAAUUUUCAGAUAUUUCCAAGUAUUCCAACUGCGUUAGGUUUAGAAUUGACAAUGGAAUUUGUCCACUCAAUUUAUUUGAUCCCAAGUCUAAAUGAGUGAGUUGCAAGAGGUUUCCAAGUGAUUUUGGAACCGGUCCUGAUAAGUUGGAAUAGGAGAGAUCUAAAAACUUCAAGGACACAAGAUUCCCCAUCGAGUCAGGCAAUCCUCCAAAAAAAUUUGCGCCUCUAAGAAUCAAGUACUCCAAAGAUGAUAAAUUUGUGAUUGAGACAGACAAUCCUUGAAAGAAAGAAUUUCCUGAUAGAUCGAAGUACUUUAAGGCCUGUAGAUUAUCAACCGAAUCAAUGAAUUCUGUAGAGAAGGACAUCCACGACAGAUCCAAAUGUUCGAGAUUGCUGCUCCGAUUCAACUUCAAAGGAUCAAGAUUGAGGUUUUGGUUGCCUCCCAAGUUGAGGAGAUUGAGGUUUGGCAAAUCAAAAAUGUUUUUUGGGAAUUUUCCUUGCAAAUCACAACCAGCAAGACUGAGAGACCUUAGAGAAGAGGAUAGAUUCAUGAAGACAUGAGCAUUAACAGAAGUCAUGUUGAUUCCAUCCAAAAACAGAUGUCUGACCUCGGUUAGGUUGUGAACAAGUCCCUCCAGAGCAUGUUUGUCAAUUGUUAGUACAUUAGCCCAAAAGGAGAGAUCAAGUGAAACCAAUUUUGACAGGUGGGAGACUUGGGAUGGGACUUCUCCUGCAAACCCUGUAUAAGAAAGGUUGAGGUAGAAUAGGCUUGUAAACCGACCGAACUCGGAUGGAAUUUUGGAAAGAUUAAAAUCAUUGUAGGCAAGGUUGAGUUUUUGAAGGUGAGGAAGAAGGAAGAGAGUGGUAUUGGAAGGGAAGUUGCCAUAUAGCCAACUGCAGCUCAAGUCAAGGGCAAUAACAUGAGCAUUUAGGUGGUCACAAGUGACCCCAUCCCAUGAGCAGCAAUCUGUACCCUCCUUCCAUGAAUUUGUCUUGGGAUAAGAUUUAAGGCCAGCAUAAUCAUUGCAAUAAGAAGAAACAUCCUCUGUUAUGGAAAAAGAGUCCUUAAACUGGAUUAGGGAAGAGCAGGAGUGAGAUCCUGAAGAAGAAAAAGAAGCAUAAAGAUGGGGAAAGAAGAGGAAUAGGCAGAGAAAGAGAUAGGGGGCCAUGUUAUGUUUGUAGAGGAAGAAGAAGGAUAGGAAUGGUAUUUGUAGGCAACAAAUAGUACCACAACAUUGGUGUUACAGUAUUUUUUUUUUUUUCUUUUACAUUGAAAAGCUAUGGAUAUUAGAUUUUCAAAAAUUUUGUAUUUUUCACCAUCAUCAACAACCACUUAGUCUUCCUUUUACCAUAUAUUUUUCAUUCUGUUUUUUUUAACAAAAUCUUGUAUUUCAUUUCAGCUUCCAAAACAACUAAAAAAUUUAAAAUUGAUGAAAUUACAAAGUAGAUUGACUUAGUCUUCUUUCCUAUAACAUUUAAAAGAAUGUCUUGUCAACCAAAGUUAAUUAAUGUGAAAAUUCUUUUUCACACAAAAGAACAAAAUUGUGCUCUAUUCACUACGUUAGAGUAAAAAGACUGCUAGAUUUUUUAAUUAUUUUUUCUUUGAAAAAUUUAAAAGUUUUUUACUGCCUUAAGCCAAUAAAAAAAAACAUGUAUUAAUUUUGUUUUUAAAAAUAGUGUGUUUGAUUGUGAAAUGAUUCAUCAUCCUCCACCACAAACUAUCCAUGUUUGCAGUGUGAAAGCAGCUACUUUCAUAAAGAAACUACUAAGGAGAUGGGAUCACCAAUUUUACCUAAACUCGCAUCAACAUUGUUUAGCAAUUUCAAAAUAGACUAAUUAGUCUGGUUCAAAUACCAAGACUACAAUAUCUAUUCACUUCACUUGGUCUUGCUGCCUAUCACUGUCAACCAAACUUGAUCGACUAUCAGUAAGGAAAUUUCAGUCAUUUGCAGCAUAAUGUACAAGAAUUCCACUCCCACAAAAUAAUUUACAAUAUGGACUAACACUCCUUUGUUUCACUAAAAAUAAUUUUUAAAAAAUGAUUUUUAGAAAGUAAUUUUUGAAAAAUGGUUAGAAGAUAAUUUUUGUUUCUGAAAUAGUUAAUUUUUUUUGGUGUUUAGAUAAAUUUUGUUAUGUUUUCAUUGUUUACUUGAGUUUAUUUCAUAAAGCUUAUUUAUAUUUUAAUUAAUCAUGUUUUAGUUUUAAUUAAGCUUAAUUUACUUAAUUAAACUUAAUUGUUAAUUUCGUACAUUAAAAUAUAAAUUUAUGUUUAAUUAAGUUGAAAGUGAUAAAUAUUUAUUUUGAAUAUUAUUUGAAUAAGUUGAAAAAUGAUUUAAUUUGAUAAAAUUGAAGUCAGGGCCAUAGAACUAUGCUUUUUACUGACAAAAUCUUGGAUGCAGAGAUUAUUGAGACUAAAAAAUGAAAGUCAUGAAAGAAUACAUAAAUAGUUGAACCAUACAAAAUGUUACAUUUUGUAAUGCAAUGAAAUAUAGAUGAAUUGUUACAAAAAUAAAGACAGAUGCAUUGCAAUGCAACCUUUCUCCAUAGGAAAAAAAUUUGACAGACUUCAAAACAAGAAAUUAUGAAGAUACAACAUACACACUUGAACAUCAUUUCCACUAACUAGAUCCUUCUUCGUCCAUUGCUGCGACUGCCAUCCUUUGACUUUCUUCUUCGCUUCUUCUCAUGUUGGAUUUCAACCAAAUUCACCAACCAUUUUGGCUUACCAAUUUGGAAAACAACAUAUCUCACGACCAUUCCAAACACUACUCCGCAUCCAUAACCUAUCAACACCAAUUUCCAACCAAAAGAGAUGUUUGAUUUUGAACCAUCUUUUCCAAGCACAUUUGGAGGUGGUGGCUCAAUGAUGUUGCAACCUUUUGAGACCGGAAAUCCACAUAAUCCCUAGUUUCCUUCAUAUGAAUCAUUUCCAUAUGUGUUGAACUGUUUGCCUUGAGGAAUCUGACCAUGGAGUUGAUUUUCAGAAACAUUGAAGGACGAAAGAAAUGCCAGAUCUGCAAAUCUAUUUCGAAUUGUCCCUGACAACCUGUUUGAAUAUAGGUCCAACCAUUCAAGACUCGUCAAAUUCCCUAUUGAAGUGGGGAUACCACCGUUAUAAACACUGUCACAUGGCAUGAAAAACACACCCUCAUAUUCACUUUCACAUUAGUCAUCAUAAGCUUAUAACAUAUGUCAUAGCAAUCUCAUAUAUAUUCAUAAUUUCACAAUUUCACAAGCGUACAUAUAUCACAUUUAAUCAUAUGCGCGAGAAAACUUACUCUCACUUACUCUUGGAAUUUAGAGUAGGAAUUUAGGCUACCACUAAAUUCUCAUCAAUUAAACAAUGAAACAUCUACGAGCAACAAUUUCAAACCACAAUGAAUCGAGAGCUCAAACUAGCUCUUCCUCUAACUCGUAGAAGGCUUUAAUGAAUCCGAGGCUUCACACGUGACAAUCACACAAUACUCACAGUCAAAUGACAGCCAAGGACCCACUUAAACUAACCAAAAUAAAAGCCUAAGCUACCUUCUAAUGUAACCAAACCCUUUAGCAUGACGAACUUAAAAUGCAAAUAUAUCAAUCUACACUUAAACAUUUUCACAUGAAACAAGUUUCAGUCAUCCCCCAUAUUCAUUUAUAGCUAAACUCCAAUCUUUAAACCACACAAAACUACAAGUUUCAAGGUAUAACAUUUUUCGACAAAUUUUGACCAUAAUAAUGAAAAUUCAUUAAAACACGGGAAAUCUAUAAUGAAACUUAGAAGUAAUUUUAAAAAACUUCUAAUUAAGUUAAAACAAGUUGAAAAACACUUUUAAAUCACAUUUUCAUCCACAAUCUCGAAUUCCACCAUUAAUGACCCAAUUUUUAGGUUUAAAUUAAAACAUGCAAUUUCAUAACUAAAAUCUCAAUUUUAAAGUCUAGAUAACAUUAAAAACUAAUGAGAAAGUAAAUGGUUACCUUUGAUGAAAGAUUAAACGAGUUUUGAAGUAUAUUUGAAAAACCCACAAUUGAAGAAGAUGAUGAAAUCUAUGGCGUUUUUGAGUGUUUUUCUUGGAGAUUUAUGAAGGUAAUUGACUUGGGAAUUAUAAGAAAUCAAAGUACUAUGGUUUGGGAAUAAAAAUUAAUUGAAAGAUCAAGGGAAUAGCAAAGGACGGCAAUAGCAAACUUUGGAGAGUAACUAUUGUGAAAUAGAACAGGGAAUGGGGUUUAUUAGGUUCAAUUUAAAGCAUUGGUAAAACUGCAAUCUAAGUGCUCACUAUUUUAACUUUGUUACAAAUUAGUCCUUUUUCUAAAUUUUAGGUAUUUAAAACUCAUUUUCAGAAAUCGGCUCAAUUCCCUAAUAGCCAUUGUCGAAAACAUUAUCGAAUACUAACCUUACGAAAUUUUGAGUACAUAUAGGCUAAAAUUCCUAAAAUACACUCGAAACUCUUAAACCUUAUUUUGGGGUGUUACGCGCAUGGUCAUGAUUCAUGUUGAAUUAAUACAUCAUUCACCGUAAUAAGGCUUAUCGUUGUAAUAAUUAGUUAAAUCACCUAAUAUCUAAAAAAUAAUUAUUAUUUUCAUAAAAUCAUUGAUCAAAUUUUUGUUUUCAAAUUUCAUACAUGAAAUUAACAAAUAAAGAUAGCUCUAAAUAGCAAAACCCAAUAUGUGUAACAAGUAUUUUUAUUAAUCCAUUUGGAACUAGAUUUUGUUUUCUAAUGUUAAGGUUUGCUGCAGCAAAUAAAUUGAUUAAUGCUUAUGAAUAUAAUGUUGGAUUAAAAUCCUUAAUUAUGAGUACAUAUGUAUAAUGUUUGAUAUUACAAUUAUCUUAAUAAUUUUUUUCUGUUUUUGUUGAUUGAUGAUUAUAAAAAUCAUUAUUCUUUUGAAGGCAUACUUUGUUGUCAAUAACAGUACCUGCACCCUAAGAAAUCACCAGGAAGCACAUUGUCAGGAGAUCCUUGCUGGAAAAAACAUUGUGCAAACUUAGGAUUUCAAUUCUCAGCAAGGAACUUGCAAGCCUAUUAUAGUAGAAAUGUUUUAUCCAAAUGAUAAAGAUGUUGAUGCAACAUUUUAGAUUGCAAAUUCCUUCAUCACAUUUGGAAUCCUAACCACAGGGACUUGCAAGCCUAUUAGCUCCAGGAACUUUAGAUUGUACCUGUUCAAUACAUUUUUUCAAAGAAGGAACCAUAGGUGAAAUGCGUACGUCUACUCUGGUUCAUCUCAUUGAAUACAUCAAAUGGAGGAUCAAUACGCUGAAAAAGGGACAAUGGAAACAACUUUAGUCAGCAACUUGAGUUUUAUAACUACUGCUAUGCUAACCAGCAGACCAUAACAGCAUACAUAAAAAAAAAAGAUGCUGACUUACAAUUUCUUUCAUUUCAUCACAACCAAUCAAAUCCCUUGCAAUGUUGUUUGGAUCACAACAGCUCAUCUUUCAAUCCUAGAUGGCUCCGCCAAUUUUUUUAAAGCAUACAUAAACUGUUAAAGAAAUAAAUGGAUAAAACAACUACAGGAUACAUGUCUGGACUGCAUGAGCUAACUUGUAAAAAAAAAAUUAUGAAAAUACAACAGAGAUCAUUGAGACAUUGUUGAAGUUGGCUUGCGUGCACACCAAGAAGCAGACCAAGCUGUCCGAGCCAUGCAAGUUGCGGCUGAAGCUUAUGCUGCUGUUUUGUUACUUUCAAAUAGAUAUUUUAUUACUUAGUUAGAUAUGAACUAAGUUGUUGAUAUGCUUGAUGUAAUUAGGUGCUGAUAGAUUGAUAAAUCAGCUUUACCAAGUGUACAAGCAAUGUUUAUCAAGUUACUAAGCCACUUAUUGGAGUUAGGAAUGUGUUUAGGUAACAUUUUCUUAUUUUUGACCAGCUGAUUGCUUGGUAUAUGUAAUGGCAUUGUGCCUUCAUUCAAAUGUAAUGAAAUCUUUCAGAAAAUUCUUCUUCAUUUGGUCUUUAGUUAAGCAUUUUUAUUCACAAAGAUCUUGCUGCUUUUGUUUUGUUUGUUGAGCAAGAUAUUAAUGCUUUAUGCUUAAGUUUCUGUCAAAAUAUCUCAUUCUUUUUUCUUAGUUCCUACAGACAUUUUGUUCUCCUUUCUCCUUUACUGAGCAGUAGCAAAGAUUAUUGAGACUAAAUUGAAAUCCAUGAAAGAAGACAUAAACAACACCACCAUACAAAAUAUUACACUCAAACAAACCAUUGCAGAUAGUACGAAAUGCAAUGAAAGACAGAGGAAUUGGUACAAUAAUAAAGACAGACACAUACCAAUGCAACCCUUCACCAUAGGCAAAACGGUCUACAAAACAAGAAAUUAUGAAAAUACAACCCUAAUUCUUGAACAUCAUUUGCAGUAAUUAGAUCCUUCUUCGUCUACUGCUGCGAUUGCCUUUCUUUGACUUUCUUCUUUGCCUCUUCUCAGGUUGGUUUUCAACCAAAUUCACCAACCAUUUCGGCUUUCCAGUUUGGAAAACAACAUAUCCCACGAACAUUCCGAACACUACUCCGCAUCCAUAACCUAUCAACACCACUUUCCAACCAAAAGCAAUGUCUGAUUUUGAGCCAUCUUUUUCAAGCACAUUUGGAGGUGCUGGCUCAAUGAUGUUGCAACCUUUCGUGACCGGAAAUCCACAUAGUCCCUUAUUUCCUUCAUAUGAAUCAUUUCCAAAUGUGUUGAAUUGUUUUCCUUGAGGAAUCCGACCAUGGAGUUGAUUUUCAGAAACAUUUAAAGACGAAAGAAAUGGCAGAUCUGCCAAUCUAUUUGGAAUCGUCCCAGACAACCUGUUUGAAGAUAGGUCCAACCAUUCAAGAUUCGUCAAAUUCCCUAUUGAGGUGGGGAUAUCACCAUUAAGGUUAUUAUGAGAAAGGUUGAGCCCUUUCAGUAAGUUAAGCUUCCCAAAAACCUUUGGAAUACCCCCUUCAAACUGAUUGUUUGAUAGAUCAAUGAUCAUCCACAUGGUGAAAAUUUUCACCAAUUCCCUCUCCUGUCCUCUCAUAACAAUUCCAAUGGAAUAGGUAUAGAAGCCACUACCUCUCUGAACAUACACCCCCAUGUACGACAUUGUACUCCCAAUCUUCUCUAGAUUUGUGAUAGCCUUGAAGCUGUUGAUGUAUCUCACUGGUAGGGGUCCAGAAAAAUAAUUGCUUGAGAGGUCAAAAAUUUGGAUUUUAGAGAAAAAAUAGCUAGACUUGGAGCUAUUGACACUCAAGGAACCAUGCAUAUGAUUUGACUUCAAUACAAGAACUUGCAAAAAUGGAAGACUUCCCAACCAAUGAGGAAAUGUAUCAUUGAUCUUGUUGUUACCAAGAUCUAGCACUUCCAGACCACUACAGUUAAGGAUGGAUGGUGUCAAAGGCCCUUCUAACAGAUUUCCAUUUAAGUUGAAAUUACUCAGUUGGCACCUCUCUGCAAAUGUUAGAGGAAUCAUCCCAUAGAACUUGUUCUUCUUCAGAUUCAAGGAUUCAAGGCUGUUGCUCAAAUUUCCAAAACAUUGCGGAAUUGUUCCACUCAAGUAAUUGUGGGACAAAUCAAGAAUUUGAAGAUAAGUGGCAUUGCAUAUUAAAGAAGAGACCUCUCCAUUGAAACUAUUAUUUGAGAUCAGAAAGACAUUGAUGGUCGAAGCUGGAAUUGGAAGAUUUCCAUGGAUCAAAUUGGAGCUUAAGUCAAGAAAUUCAAUAUUCUUCCAUGGAAAGUGCUCAACUUCUGUCAAAGAGUUGUGAGAUACGUUUAAGUAAGUCAAAGAGUCAUUCCCCACAUCUUGCAUCCACUGUGGAAUCUUGCCUUCAAUUUUGUUGCAAGAGAGGUCUAAGCUUUCCAAACUUUUAAGCCCUUUCAAAAAUUGGGGGAAUUCACUAAGAUUGCAAGAUGACAAAAGUACGUCUGUAAGAUUAGGCAAUAUAUGAUUAACAGUAGAAGUAGUAUUAGAUGUUAAGGAUAGGCUGUUAUAUGAAAGGUCAAGAUAUUCGAGAUUUGGAAGGUUUGAGAACAUGCGAGACUCUAUGACACCACUAAGAUUAUUUGAGGAUAAGCUGAGGUGGGUAAGAUUAAGAAGUUGGAAUAUUGAAGAUGGAAGAGGACCUUGGAGUUUAUUAUUCUCUAACGCUAUCAAUUCUAGUGAUUUGGAUUGGAAUUCUUUGAUAUGCCCACUGAAUUGAUUUUGAGAGAGAUAUACUGUCUUUAAGGAAGGAGCAGUAUACAACCAUGACGGAAGUGUUCCAUUGAGUAAAUUGUUAGAUAAUUCUAAAUAUUUUAGAUGAGGAAAAGCGGUUACCUCAUCUGGAAUGGAACCUUCUAAAGAAUUAUAAGAUAUUUUCAAAUGUUCUAGCUGCAUUAGGUUUAGAAUUGACAAUGGAAUUUGUCCACUCAAUUGGUUAUGCCACAAGUAUAAAUCAGUGAGUUGCAAGAGGUUACCCAAUGAUCUUGGAAUUUGUCCACUCAAAUGGUUCGCCGUCAAGUCUAAAUGACUAAGUUGCAAGAGGUUUCCCAGUGAUCUUGGAAGCGGUCCUGAUAAGUUGGAAUGGGAGAGAACUAAAAACUUCAAGGACACAAGAUUCCCCAUCGAGUUAGGCAAUCCUCCAAAAACAUCUGCGCCUAUAAGAAUCAAGUACUCCAAAGAUGAUAAAUUUGUGAGUGAGACAGACAAUCCUUGAAAGAAAGAAUUUCCUGAUAGAUCUAAGUACUUUAAGGCCUGUAGAUUAUCAACUGAAUCAAUGAAUUCUGUAGAGAAGGACACGGACGACAGAUCCAAAUGUUCAAGAUUGCUGCUCCGAUUGAACUUCAAAGGAUCAAGAUUGAGGUUUUGGUUGCCUCCCAAGUUGAGGAGAUUGAGGUUUGGCAAAUCAAAAAUGUUUUUUGGGAAUUUUCCUUGCAAAUCACAACCAGCAAGACUGAGAGACCUUAGAGAAGAGGAUAGAUUCAUGAAGACAUGAGCAUUAACAGAAGUCAUGUUGAUUCCAUCCAAAAACAGAUGUCUGACCUCGGUUAGGUUGUGAACAAGUCCCUCCAGAGCAUGUUUGUCAAUUGUUAGUACAUUAGCCCAAAAGGAGAGAUCAAGUGAAACCAAUUUUGACAGGUGGGAGACUUGGGAUGGGACUUCUCCUGCAAACCCUGUAUAAGAAAGGUUGAGGUAGAAUAGGCUUGUAAACCGACCGAACUCGGAUGGAAUUUUGGAAAGAUUAAAAUCAUUGUAGGCAAGGUUGAGUUUUUGAAGGUGAGGAAGAAGGAAGAGAGUGGUAUUGGAAGGGAAGUUGCCAUAUAGCCAACUGCAGCUCAAAUCAAGGGCAAUAACAUGAGCAUUUAGGUGGUCACAAGUGACCCCAUCCCAUGAGCAGCAAUCUGUACCCUCCUUCCAUGAAUUUGUCAUGGGGUAAGAUUUAAGGCCAGCAAUCCCAUCGCAAUAUAAAGUAGGAAGCAUUGUCUGAGUAAUGGAAAAAGAAUUCUUGAACUGGAUUAGUGAAGCAGCUUCAGGGUGAGAGCAGGAGUGAGAUCCUGAAGAAGCAGCAUAAAGAUGGGGAAAGAAGAGGAAUAGGCAGAGAAAGAGGUAGGAGGCCAUGUUAUGUUUAUAGAGGAAGAUGAAGGAUAGGAAUGGUACUUAUAGGCAACAAAUAAUACCACAACAUUGUAGUCUUCUUUUUACCAUAUAUUUUCCAUUCUUAAAAUUUGAUGUUUUUCUUUUAGCAAAAUAUUGUAUUUCAUUUGAAGUCCUAAACAACUAAAAAAAUUAAGAUUGAUGAGAUUACAAAGUAGAUUGACUUAGUCUUCUUUCCUAUAACACUUAAAGAAUGUCUUGUCAACCAAAGUUAAUUAAUGUGAAAAUUCUUUUUUACACAAAAGAACAAAAUUGUGCUCUAUUCACUACGUUAGAGGAAGAAGACUGCUAGAUUUUUUAAUUAUUUUUUCUUUGAAAAAUUUGAGAGUUUUUUACUGCCAUAAGCCAAUAAAAAAAAACAUGUAUUAAUUUUAUUUUUAAAAAUUGUGUGUUUGAUUGUGAAAUAAUUCAUCGUCCUCCACCACAAACUAUCCAUGUUUGCUGUGUGAAAGCAGGUACUUCCAUAAAGAAAUUACUAAGGAGAUGGGAUUCACCAAUUUUACCUAAACUCGCAUCAACAUUGUUUAGUGCUCCCUCAAUUUCACAUCAAUGCAUUCAAUUUCAAAAUAGGUUACCAAGACUACAAUAUCUAUUCACUUGGUCUUGCUUCCUAUCACUGUCAACCAAACUUGAUCGACUAGCAGUAGGGAAAUUUCAGUCAUUUGCAGUAUAAUGUACAAGAAUUACACUCCCACAAAAUAAUUUACAAUAUGGACUAACACUCCUUUGUUUCACUAAAAAUAAUUUUUAAAAAACGAUUUUUAGAAAGUAAUUUUUGAAAAAUGGUUAAAAGAUAAUUUUUGUUUCUGAAAUAGUUAAUUUUUUUUGGUGUUUAGAUAAAUUUGUGUAAAAUAUUUUUUGAUGUUUAAAAAAAUUCGAGAAAAUAUUUCAUAAAAGUUGUCUUUAAUGAAAUCAACAUAUAUUUGAAAUUUUGUUAUGUUUUCAUUGUUUACUUAAGUUUAUUUCAUAAAGCCUAUUUAUAUUUUAAUUAAUCAUAUUUUAGUUUUAAUUAAUUUUAAUUUACUUAAUUAAGCUUAAUUGUUAAUUUCGUACAUUAGAAUAUAAAUUUAUGUUUAAUUAAGUUGAAAGUGAUAAAUAUUUAUUUUGAAUAUUAUUUGGAUAAGUUGAAAAUGAUUUAAUUUGAUAAAAUUGAAGUCAGGGCCAUAGAACUAUGAUUUUUACUGACAAAAUCUUGGAUGCAGAGAUCAUUGAGACUAAAAAAUGAAAGUCAUGAAAGAAGACAUAAAUAGUUGAACCAUACAAAAUGUUACAUUUAAAACAAACCCUUACAAAUACUACCUAAUGCAAUGAAAUAUAGAUGAAUUGUUACAAUAACAAAGACAGAUGCAUGGCAAUGCAACCUUUCACCAUGGGAAAAAAUUUGACGGACUUCAAAACAAGAAAUUAUGAAGAUACAACGUACACACUUGAACAUCAUUUCCACGAACUAGAUCCUUCUUUGUCCAUUGCUGCGACUGCCAUCCUUUGACUUUCUUCUUCGCUUCUUCUCAUGUUGGAUUUCAACCAAAUUCACCAACCAUUUUGGCUUACCAAUUUGGAAAACAACAUAUCCCAUGACCAUUCCAAACACUACUCCGCAUCCAAAACCUAUCAACACCAAUUUCCAACCAAAAGAGAUGUUUGAUUUUGAACCAUCAUUUUCAAGCACAUUUGGAGGUGGUGGCUCAAUGAUUUGCAUCCUUUUGAGACCGGAAAUCCACAUAAUCCCUAGUUUCCUUCAUAUGAAUCAUUUCCAUAUGUGUUGAACUGUUUGCCUUGAGGAAUCUGACCAUGGAGUUGAUUUUCAGAAACAUUGAAGGACGAAAGAAAUGCCAAAUCUGCAAAUCUAUUUGGAAUUGUCCCAGACAACCUGUUUGAAGAUAGGUCCAACCAUUCAAGACUUGUCAAAUUCAUACCACAAUUAUAAACACUGUCAUAUGACAUGAAUAACAUACCCACAUAUUUACUGUCACAUGGCAUGAAAAACACACCCUCAUAUUCACUUUCACAUCAGUCAUCAUAAGCUUAUAACAUAUGUCAUAGCAAUCUAAUAUAUGUUCAUAAUUUCACAAUUUCACAAGCGUACAUGUAUCACAUUUAAUCAUAUGCACGAGAAAACUUACUCACUUACUCUCGAAAUUUAGUGUAGGGGCUUAGGCUACCAUUAAAUUCUCAAUUACACAAUGAAUCAUCUACGAGCAAUGAUUCCAAAACACUCAUAGAUAUCAACUUUAGCCAAAAAUCGAGAGCUUGAACUAGCUCUUCCUCUAACUCGUAGAAGGCUCUAAUGAAUCCGAGGCUUCACACAUGACAAUCACACAAUACCCACAGUCAAAUGACAGCCAAGCACCCACUUAAACUAACCAAAACACAAGCCUAAGCUACCUUCUCAUGUAACCAAACACUUUAGCAUGACGAACUUAAAAUGCAAAUAUAUCGAUCUACACUUAACAUUUUUGCAUGAAACAAGUUUCAAUCAUCCCCAUAUUUAUCUAUAAUUAAACUCAUACAAAACUGAACGUUUUAAGGUAUCGAUAUUUUUCAACAUGUUUGGCCAUAAUAAUGAAAAUUCAUUAAAAGGCGAGAAAUUGUUAAUGAAACUUGUAAGUAAUUUUAGAAACUUUCUAAUCAAGUUAAAACAAGUUGAAAAACACUUUCAAAUCACAUUUUUAUCCACAAUCUCAAAUUCCACUAUUAAUGAUCCAAUUUUUGAGUUUUAAUUAAAACAUGCAAUUUCAUAACUAAAAAACUCAAUUUUAAAGUCUAAAUAACUUUAAAAAUUAAUGGUAAAGUAAAUGGUUACAUUUGAUGGAAGAUUAAACGAGUUUUGACUAAAUUUGAAAAACCCACUAUUGAAGAUGAUGAUGAAAUCUCUGGAGUUUUUGAGUGUUUUUCCUGGAGAAUUAUGAAGGUAAUUGACUUGGGAAUUAUAAGAAAUCAAAGUAUUAUUGUUUGGGAAUAAAAAAUCAAUUGAAAGAUAAAGGGAAUAGCAAAGGACGGCAAUAGCAAACUUUGGAGAGUAACCAUCGUGAAAUAGAACUGGGAUUGGGGUUUAUUAGGUUCAAUUUUAAAAAUUGGUAAAACUGCAAUAUAAGUGCUCACUAUUUUAACUUUGUUACAAAUUAUUCCCUUUUUUUUUUUUCUAAAAUUUAGGAAUUUAAAACUUAUUUUCAGAAAUUGACUCAAUUCCCUAAUGGCCAUUGUCGAAAACAUUGUCGAAUACCAAGCUUACGAAAUUUUGAGCACAUAUAGGCUAAAAUUCCUAAAAUACACUCGAAAUUCUUCGACCCUAUUUUGGGGUGUUACACACAUGGUCAUGAUUCGUGUUGAAUUAAUCCAUCAUUCACCGUAAUAAGACUUGUCGUUGUAAUAAUUUAUUUUGAUAUGUAUUAUUUUAUGAUGCAUAAACAUCAUAAAUUUUUAUAUUAUGAAAUAAUAUAAUUAGUUAAAUCAUCUAAUAUCUAAAAAAUAAUUAUUAUUUUAAUAAAAUCAUUCAUCAAAUUUUUGUUUUCAAAUUUCAUACAUGAAAUUAACAAAUAAAGAUAGCUCUAAAUAGCAAAACAUGGUAGGAUGGUUUUUUUGUGCAAACUUAGGAUUUCAAUUCUCAUCAAGGAACUUGCAAGCCUAUUAUAGUAGAAAUGUUUUAUCCAAACGAUAAAGAUGUUGAUGCAACAUUUUAGAUUGCAAAUUCCUUGCUCACAUUUGGAAUCCUAACCACAGGGACUUGCAAGCCUAUUAGCUCCAGGAACUUUAGAUUGUACUUGCAAAUUCCUUGCUCACAUUUGGAAUUCUAUUCUGGUUCAUCUCAUUGAAUACAUCAAAUGGAGGAUCAAUACGCUGAAAACGGAUCAAAUCCCUUGCAAUGUUGUUUGGAUCACAACAGCUCAUCUUUCAAUCCUAGAUGGCUCCGCCAAUUUCUUGAAAGCAUACAUAAACUGUUAAAGAAAUAAAUGGAUAAAACAACUACAGGAUAGAAGGCUGAAAAUUUACGAAGGGCAAUGACCUUAAUGUUAAAAUUCCAACGUCCAUUCCUUGGAAAGAUAUCUUCACCAUUGCCCACUCAAGAGAACUCAAAUAGCAGCAAGAUCUAGAAUAAAAUGUAACCCUCAACAACACACAAAUGUUUGUUCUGUCAAGGAACAAUACACAGACAUAUUCACCUACCGUUGGUGCUGGCAGAAUAUGCCCAUUCACUUGGGUGAAAUUAGAGUUGAUAUUAACCCCACAAGAUUUCUGCACCAUAAUUACUGCUAAGUAAAACCUGCACAUAAAUUUUCAUUCUUCACUAGAAACUGAAACUAUUUUUGUAAGUAAAAAUUAGUUGUAUUCAUUCUUCGCAUAAUUGAUCUUUUGUUGUGGAAGUAUUGUAUUUCCGGUAAUCCAUUAAGUAUUCAGUGUUUGAUACAAUAGAUUUGCAUUUUACUAUUGUAUUUUGUGGAAGGAACCUUUACCUAUUUUGUUUUUUGCAUUUCUGAUUAGUUUACAUUUUUCAGUAAUUAAUUUAUGUUGUUUUUGCCAAACUUUGUAGCGUUUCACUUUUGGUAAAAUUUCACCCUUGGUCCCUUUAAACUCCUUCUUGCUUUAAUUUGAUUGCUUUCUAGCGUUGCAAAUUACAUAACAUUCUUCAAAUGUCUUACUAAAUUCUCACUUUUACGAGUGCUAUGAUAAUCAAUUAAAAUUCAAUUCAGUUUUAAGUUCAAUAUAACACUUACAUGGCUACAAAAUGUGUCCUUAACCCCAAACAAUCCAAAUUUGCAGAGAAACCACCCAUUAUAUAUAGGUUUGCCAAUGAGACGGCAAGCAGACUGCUAGCUAGAAAUUCAUGCAUCUUUGAAUCACCAAUUCAAUUAAUAAGCUUAAGUAAAGGAAAUAAGGACUUUACAUCCUCCAAUUAAAGCAACCUAUAUGUACCCUUUUACAGUCUGCAUUGUUCCAUGUUUCAAUUCAUUACAUCAUUCCUUCAACUCUGCUAUAUAUUAUUACCGUCUCCAGAUAACCAAACCUUUUACUGCUAACUUGUAAAAAAAAUUAUGAAAAUACAACAGAGAUCAUUGACACAUUGUUGAAGUUGGCUUGCAGGCAGACCAAGAAGCAGACCAAGCUGUCCGAGCCAUGCAAGCUGCAGCUGAAGCUUAUGCUGCCGUUUUGCUACUUUCAAAUAGAUAUUUUAUUACUUAGUUAGAUAUGAACUAAGUUGUUGAUAUGCCUGAUGUAAUUAGGUGCUGAUAGAUUGAUAAAUCAGCUUUACCAAGUGUACCAAGUUACUAAGCCACAUAGUGGAGUUAGGUAUGUGUUUAGGUAACAUUUUCUUAUUUUUGACCAGCUGAUUGCUUGGUAUAUGUAAUGGCAGUGUGCCUUCAUUCAAACAUAAUGAAAUCUUUCAGAAAAAUCUUCUUCAUUUGGUCUUUACUUAAGCAUUUUUAUUCACAAAGCUCUUGCUGUUUUUGUUUUGUUUGUUGAGCAAGAUAUCAAUGCUUUAUGCUUAAGUUUCUGUCAAAAUUUCUCAUUCUGUUUUCUUAGUUCCUACAGUCAUUUUGUUCUCCUUUCUCCUUUACUGAGCAGUAGCAAAGAUUAUUGAGACUAAAUUGAAAUCCAUGAAAGAAGACAUUAACAACACCACCAUACAAAAUGUCACACUCAAACAAACCAUUACUGAUAGUACGAAAUGCAAUGAAAGACAGAGGAAUUGGUACAAUAAUAAAGACAGACACAUACCAAUGCAACCCUUCACCAUAGGCAAAACGGUCUACAGAACAAGAAAUUAUAAAAAUACAACACUAAUUCUUGAACAUCAUUUGCAGUAAUUAGAUCCUUCUUCGUCUACUGCUGCGAUUGCCUUUCUUUGACUUUCUUCUUCGCCUCUUCUCAUGUUGGUUUUCAACCAAAUUCACCAACCAUUUUGGCUUUCCAGUUUGGAAAACAACAUAUCCCACGAACAUUCCGAACACUACUCCACAUCCAUAACCUAUCAACACCACUUUCCAACCAAAAGCAAUGUUUGAUUUUGAGCCAUCUUUUUCAAGCACAUUUAGAGGUGCUGGCUCAAUGAUGUUGCAACCUUUCGAGACCGGAAAUCCACAUAGUCCCUUAUUUCCUUCAUAUGAUUCAUUUCCAAAUGUGUUGAAUUGUUUUCCUUGAGGAAUCUGACCAUGGAGUUGAUUUUCAGAAAUAUUGAAGGACGAAAGAAAUGGCAGAUCUGCCAAUCUAUUUGGAAUCGUCCCAGACAACCUGUUUGAAGAUAGGUCCAACCAUUCAAGAUUUGUCAAAUUCCCUAUUGAAGUGGGGAUACCACCAUUAAGGUUAUUGUGAGAAAGGUUGAGCCCUUUCAGUAAGUUAAGCUUCCCAAUAACCUUUGGAAUCUCUCCUUCAAACUGAUUGUUUGAUAGAUCAAUGAUCAUCCACAUGGUGAAAAUUUUCACCAAUUCCAUAUAUUUUCCUUUCAUAAUAAUUCCAAUAGAAUAGGCAUAGAAGCCGCUAGUAUAAUCUCCCACACCCAUGUAUGGCCUUGCACUACCUUUUUUCUUGAGAUUUAUGAUAGCCUUGAAGCUGUUGAUGUAUCUCACUGGUAGGGGUCCAGAAAAAUAGUUACUUGAGAGGUCAAAAUUUUGGAUUUUAGAGAAGAAAGGGCUAGACUUGGGGCUAUUGACACGCAAAGAACCAUGCAUAUGAUUAGACUUCAAUACAAGAACUUGCAAAUAUGGAAGACUUCCCAACCAAUGAGGAAAUGUAUCAUUGAUCUUGUUGUUACCAAGAUCUAGCACUUCCAGACCUCUACAAUUAAGGAUGGAUGGUGUCAAUGGCCCUUCUAACAAAUUUCCAUUUAAGUUGAAAUUACUCAAUUGGCAUCCCUCUGCAAAUGUUGGAGGAAUCGUCCCAUAAAACUUGUUCUUCUUCAGAUUUAAGAAUUCAAGGCUGUUGCUCAAAUUUCCAAAACAUUGCGGAAUUGUUCCACUCAAGUUAUUGUGGGACAAAUCAAGAAUAAGAAGAGAAGUGACAUUGCAGAUUAAAGAAGAGACCUCUCCAUUGAAACUAUUAUUUGAGAUCAGAAAGACAUUGAUGGUCGAAGCUGGAAUCGGAAGAUUUCCACGGAUCAAAUUGGAGCUUAAGUCAAGAACUUCAAUAUUCUUCCAUGGAAAGUGCUCAACUUCUGUCAAAGAGUUGUGAGAUACGUUUAAGUAAGCCAAAGAGCCUUUCCCCACCUCUUGCAUCCACUGUGGAAUCUUGCCUUCAAUUUUGUUGCAAGAGAGGUCUAAGCGUUUCAAACUUUUAAGCCCUUCCAAAAAUUGGGGGAAUUCACUAAGAUUGCAAGAUGACAAACGUAAGUCCAUAAGAUUAGGCAAUAUAUGGUUAACACAAGAAGUAGUAUUAGAUGUUAAGGAUAGGCUAUUAUAUGAAAGGUCGAGAAGUUUUAGAGUUGGAAGGUUUGAGAACAUGCGAAACUCUAUGACACCACUAAGAUUAUUUGAGGAUAAAACGAGGCGGGUAAGAUUGAGAAGUUGGAAUAUAGAAGAUGGAAGAGGACCUUGGAGUUUAUUAUCGUUUAACCUUAUGAAUUCUAGUGAUUUGGAUUGGAAUUCUUUGAUAUGCCCACUGAAUUGAUUUUGAGAGAGAGAUAUUGUCUUUAAGGAGGGUGCAGUAUACAACCAUGACGGAAGUGUUCCGUUGAGUAAAUUGUCAAAUAAGUAUAAAUAUAUUAGAUUAGGAAAAGCGGUUACCUCAUCUGGAAUGGAACCUUCUAAAGAAUUAUUAUAUAUUCCCAAGUAUUCCAGCUGCGUUAGGUUUAGAAUUGAGAAUGGAAUUUGUCCACUCAAUUUGUUCCCGGACAAGUCUAAAUAAGUGAGUUGCAAGAGGUUCCCCAAUGAUCUUAGAAUUUGUCCACUCAGUUGGUUCCACGACAAGUCUAAAUGAGUGAGUUGCAAGAGGUUUCCCAAUGAUCUUGGAACCGUUUCUGAUAAGUUGGAAUUGGAGAGAUCUAAAAACUUCAAGGACACAAGAUUCCCCAUCGAGUCAGGCAAUCCUCCAAAAACAUUUGCUACUGAAAUUAUCAAUUGCUCCAAAGAUGAUAAAUUUGUGAUUGAGACAGACAAUCCUUGAAAGAAAGAAUUUUGUGAUAGAUCUAAGUACUUUAAGGCCGGUAGAUUGUCAACUGAAUCAAUGAAUUCUGUAGAGAAGGACAUGAAAGACAGAUCCAAAUGUUCAAGAUUGCUGCUCCGAUUCAACUUCAAAGGAUCAAGAUUGAGGUUUUGGUUGCCUCCCAAGUUGAGGAGAUUGAGGUUUGGCAAGUCAAAAAUGUUUUUUGGGAACUUUCCUUGCAAAUCACAAUAAGCAAGACUGAGAGACCUUAGAGAAGAGGAUAGAUUCAUGAAGACAUGAGCAUUAACAGAAGACAUGUCCAUUCCAUCCAAAAACAGAUGUCUGACCUCGGUUAGGUUGUGAACAAGUCCCUCCAGAGCAUGUUUGUCAAUUGUUUGCUCAUCAUCCCAAGAGGAGAGAUCAAGUGAAACCAAUUUUGACAGGCGGGAGACUUGGGAUGGGACUUCUCCUGCAAACCCUGUAUAAGAAAGGUUGAGGUAGAAUAGGCUUGUAAAGCGACCGAACUCGGAUGGAAUUUUGGAAAGAUUAAAAUCAUUGAAGGCAAGGUUGAGUUUUUGAAGGUGAGGAAGAAGGAAGAGAGUGGUAUUGGAAGGGAAGGUGCAAUAUAGCCAACUGCAGCUCAAGUCAAGGGCAAUAACAUGAGCAUUUAGGUGGUCACAAGUGACCCCAUCCCAUGAGCAGCAAUCUGUACCCUCCUUCCAUGAAUUUGUCUUGGGAUAAGAUUUAAGGCCAGCAAAAUCAUUGCAAUAAGAAGAAGCAUCCUCUAUUAUGGAAAAAGAGUUCUUGAACUGGAUUAAUGAAGAGCAGGAGUGAGAUCCUAAAGAAGAAAAAGAAGCAUAAAGAUGGGGAAAGAAGAGGAAGAGGCAGAGAAAGAGAUAGGAGGCCAUGUUAUGUUGGUAGAGGAAGAUGAAGGAUAGGAAUGGUAUUUAUAGGCAACAAAUAAUACCACAACAUUGGUGUUACAGUCUUUCUUUUCUUUUACAUUGAAAAGCUAUGGAUAUUAGAUUUUCAAAAUUUUUGUAUUUUUCACAAUCAUCAACAACCACUUAGUCCUUUUAUCAUAUAUUUUUCAUUCUUAAAAUUAGAUAUUAGAUUUUCAAAAUAUUUGUAUUUUUCAUUUGAACUCUCUAAACAACUCAAAAAAUUAAGAUUAACUUAGUCUUUUUUCUUAUAACACUUAAAGAAUGUGUGUAAUCUAUUCACAGGUUAACCAAAGCUAAGUAAUGUGGAAAUUCUUUUUCACACGAAAGAACAAAAUUGUGCUCUAUUCACUACGUUUGAGGAAGAAGACUGUUGGAAAUUUUAUUCACCGAUUCCAUAAAUUAAAACGUGUAUACUUAUAUAUAUAUAUUUAUAACCUCAUAAUUCAAAUCUAAAAUCUUAUUUGUUAUAAAUUCUAAUAAAUUUAUUUGGGAAUAGUUAUUUUUCAUUCGUUAAUUAUUUCUCUUUUAAUCAAGUAAAAAAUUAAAACUAAAAAGACAUAAUGAUUACUUUUACCCUUGAAACUUAUAUGGUUCGUUAAAUCACCCAUUGAUGACAUAUUAACCUUUGAGUUAAACUCAAAUUGCUCUUUCCUUUGUUAUAAAUUAAGAGUAUAACUAAUUUUGAUAAGAAUGGUUACUUUUCAUUAACACAGUUUAAAGGACCAUAACACGUAAACUUUGGUCUAUUGCAGAAUUCACAUGCAAUGCAGGACAUUUACAUUAUGCAGAAUUCAACACAUAUAUGGGAAUUUUUGUAUUUCCACAAUCAUCAUGUUUUUAGUGAUCAACAACUACUUCCUUUUUACCAUAUAUUUUUCAUUCAUAAAAUUGAUUACUUCUUUUUACCAAAGAAGUAAAAUAAUUAACAUUCCUGAGAUUACAAAGUCUUCUUCCUUAUAACACGUCAAAUUUGGUCCCAAAUAAAUUUCCACACAAAAUUAAGAAUACACAAAGGCAGGAUGAAUUAUUCCAUGUUUGAACAUCUGCAACAUAAAUGCAUAUGGCAAAAAGGCUCAAACCAUACCUUAAGUUCAUGAAUUCUCAUCAUCACAUGUUUAUAAAUGCAACUCAAACUUGAAUAAUUGAAUCUUUUGUAAUUCUACAUGUAUUUGUUUUUUUUUAUGGUGAGCAGUAUAAUGUUUACUAAAAAUUGAAAUUCAAGAAAGAAGACAUACAUAGUUGCACCAUUCAAGAUAAACUUACCUCGAGUAUUGAUACUCGGGUUGAAGUAUCGAUACCAAAUCUUUUUUAUCAUAUAUUUUUCAUUCACAAAAUUGGAUACAUUUUUUUACCAAAAUUUUGUAUUUCAUUUGAAUUCCCUAAACAACUGAGAAAAUUAAAAUUGAUGAGAUUAUAAAGUAGAUUGACUUAAUCUUCUUCCUUAUAAUACGUAAAGAAUGUGAGUGUCUAUUUACUUAGUAUGUAUGGCUGUCAAGCAAUGUAGAAAUUUGCACACAAAAGAACAAAUUUGUGGACUACUUAAAAAUUCAAAGCAUGUGUGGCCAAUAUUCAUUUAUUUUAUUGCAUAAAAUUCAAGGCAUGUGUGUUGAAUAAUUUUAUCCAAGAAGCAUAUUUUCCACAAAACUUUAAUCGGUUGGCAUUAAAUAUGUCAUUUUCUAUUAACUGCAAGAAAACUAUCCGGUAAACUACAUCUUCUUCUUUUAGAUAAAAUUUUGUAAAAAAAAAUUUGACAUUAUCACUUAUAUAGUUAUAUGGUCCUUCAAUUUUAUUUUUUUUAAAAAAAAAAGUAAUUUUAACUCUCCAUUUAAUAUUUCACCUCUUUGAGUUUUUAAAUUUGUGUUAUUUAUCAAAUCAUCCCAGAAUGUAUGAAAAAGUUAACAUUUGUUAACUUUAUUGACGGAACAUACAUAUCGAUAUCAUAUAAACAAUUAAUUGAUUUUUAAAUUUUAAAAAUUUUAAAAAUAAAACAUAUAUUAAAAUUUCUAAGAAAUGAGAAAAUUUGGAAGCAUUGCAAAAGAAUGUGCAAUAAUUCCAAACAAAUUAACGCAACAUUUUAGUUACCACUUAUAUAGUCCUUCAAUUUUAUUUAAAAAAAAUUAUUUUAACUCUGCAUUUAAUUUUUCGCCUCUUUAAACUUUUAAUUUGUGUUAUUUAUCAAAUCUUCCAAACAAAUUAACGCCGUAAUAACCCAUUUUUCCCGGCCCAUAAUUAACCAAAUUAAAAAAAACGAAAUAUAAAAUUUUAAUAACAGUCCACUACAAACACAAUAAGUAGCAGGCCCAAAACCCAAAUGCACUACCUAAUUACAAACCCAACUAAACCCUAACCCAAUACAAACCCCAAAAGCCCAGCUUGCAGCCCACAACACUAAAAACAAUAGAAACCCUAGCAACAGUUUCAGCCGCCGCAACAGUGGCCCCAGCGCUGCAGACUGUCCUCCGCGCGUGUCAAGCCUCCGCGCGCGUGCGCCUCCAAGCUAGCAUGUACCUGCAACGAACAAUAAACAGCAAGCAGCAAGAGAGGCAAAAUAACAGAUUGAUAGCUAAAAAAUAAAGAGUUUUUUUGUAUUUUUUCUUUUUUUCAUUUUUCGGUUAUAUAAAGCCACUUGUGAUACUGUAAAAGGGAUUACGCAUUCGAAAGAAAAAAAAAAGAAUCAAAUAGCAGCAUAAUUUUAAGGUGGUUUCCGAUUUCUACUUCUUUUUUUUUCUUUUUCCUUUGAUUUGUUUUUAUUUGUUGAUUAAAAGAUAAAAAAAAGGGAAGUUCUUACCUACAUAUUGCGCCGCCAGGAGCCUUCGUCCCUUCUGUUUCAAAUCGAAAUGGGGUGGGCAAUGGUCGAAUCAAAAGCGGCGCACAUAGGAUAGAUUUUAGGGUUGGUUAGAUUUUUUUUUUUUAGAAAUGGAGUGUCUGCUAAUGUUAACUUAUAUAUAGCGUAUGAAACGACGACAUUUGAUGCCAUUUUAGUGGUUUCAAAAUGGCGUCGUAUAGGGCCGAGAUCCGUGCGGUGACCCGACCCGGGGAGGAUCCGCGUGUUUUCACUUUGGUGGGAUAUUUGUGCGCUAGGUUCUCUACCUUUGCACUUUGUUUUAAUUCGGUUUAUUUUGAUUCUUCAAAUUGGGCUGCAUAAUUUCCUGCUGACUACAUUUUAGUCCAUUUGCAGCGGUGCGUUUUGGUGGGCAAGGAAUAUUUCCUAUUUUAGUCCCCAUGUUAUUCGCGGUUUGUAAUUUGGUCCUUUCCUUUUAUAUAUAUAAUAAUUUUAUAUAAUACUAUUUUAUAUAUAUAUAAUUUGUAUUAAGUUUUUUAUAUAUCAUCGAUUUCAUAUUUACGUAUUUUUCUACUUAUUUCAUAUAUAAUCUGUUUCAUUUAAAACUUUACUUUAUUAUAUACUUGAUUUAUAUCAACCUUUUAUACAUACUAUUAUACGUAUACGUAUAUUGUUUAUUUUAAAUUAAUAUGUAUAUAUUAUUUCAUGUAUUUCGGUUUUCUUCAUAUACAAUAUUCACUUUAAAAUUCAUUUUAAUAUUAUUUUUUUCGUAGUAUUUAUUUUUUAUCUUCAUUUUUGACUUAUUUCAAACUCAUAUAUGUAUAUCUAUUAUCUUUGCUAAUGUGCAUACAUAUGCAACUUCAUUUAAAUAUAAAAAAUCUAAAAAUAAUUAAAUAUGUAUAAAUCUAAAAAUAUCUUAAAAUUAAAACUAAAAAAUUUUAAACUAAUGCAAAUUUUUAUUAUUUAAAAAAUCUUAAAAUUUUCAAAUUAAAUUCCAUUUGUUUUCCACCGUUGAAGAACACCUUCAAUCACAUUAACAACUUCAUGCUAUUUUGCCUAGAAAUUAUUUUGCAAAUUUAUUUUGUUUUAUUUAUUUCUAAAUCCAUAUUUCUUUUCUGUAACUCCAAUUAUUAGAUUGUUUAGGGUUUUGAGUAACUUUCGAUUUUGGAAUUUUAGAUUUUUAAAUUUAAAUACGAAGUGCUCUUCUUCUUCUCCAAACCCACAAAUUUUCUACCAAAUUUCAACUCAAGGUUUUACUUUCAGCUAUAAAUAAAACAUAUAUUAUAUUUAUAAUGACCUAAGAAUAGUAGAGUCGACGCCGAUCUACAUGAAAAAGGAGGGAAAAAAACAGGCAAAGAAAGAUGAUAUGAAGAGAGCAUAAAUCAAUAAAGCAAAUGAAAAACGAGUAGAAUUAAAGUAAAUGGGUAUUUAAUAUUUUUUUGUGAAAGUUCAAAGACUAAUUAUGUAUGAGCUUGGAUGUGGAAAAAUUAGUUGGAAAUUUUUUUUCUUGCACCAAUUGAUUUUUUUUAUAUAGAAUUUGUAUUUAUUUUUUAAGAUUUUUAAAUUUUGUUACAAUUAUUUUUAUGAAAAUUUGAAAAUAUAAAAAUACUUUUUGAACUAUAAUUCAAGGAUUAAAUUAGCUAUUAAUCAUUUGAAUAAAUAAAACAUAUACAUGAAUUAAGUAAUUAAUCCACAAGCAAUGUUGGACAUUUUCAUAAUGCCAAAUUUCACUUCAGAUUUAGUUACCCAUAAUCAUAUUUAAACAAACAAAAACAUAACAAUCACACAAAAUAGGCAUAACUAGAAAACAUGAGAAAAAUGAGAAAAGCUUGAAAACAAUUACAAUGGUAGCAAAGGAAAUGUAAAAAAAAAAACUUAAAAAUCAGAUUUUUAAUGAUGAAGGGAAUUGAUCAUUUAUAUUAAAACCAAGGAUUAAACUGAAAAUACAAAGAGUUGAAGGUACUAAACUAGCAAACAAACCCUAGCUGCAAUGUUAAUUAACUUAACUAACUACUAUUGGAACCAAGAAAAACUAAAAGAAAACAUGAAUUACACCCUAGAGUUAUGGAGAAGAAAACAAAAACUCUAAAAAUAAAGAGGAAAUUUGAAAACCAUGAAAUGUUAAGUGUGCCUUUUGUUCAGCCAAUUUUUUGCCCUUUCUAGAAUUACAGAUCCAAAAAUAGUGGCCAAAUUGUCCUUGAUCGUUUAAUUUUGGUUAGGGGACAUGUUGGAAACGGAUUACCCAUACGGUUAUAUUUUGUCUCCUCUCAUCAAUGAUAUUGCCAUACCCAAAGUUUGGUAUCGCGAUAUCCACAACAAUCUUGGGGAUCCUUAGGAGUUUUGAGUAUCGCGAUACCUUAUGACUGGUAUCAUGAUAGCACUGUUGAUGGCUCAAUCUUCCUUGUUUUUAACAUUGUUAUGGGUGUUACGACUUUCAAUCUUCCUUAUUUUUAACAUUGUUAUGCAAUACCCUCUUUCUAGGUGACAUUUUCGCUCCUUCCGGGUCACCAUGGGCUCUCUGCAUCACUCACCAAUCACAUUAGAUUCCCCGGGUGCCAUUUGACCAUCUCAGGUCUCAAAAUAGCAUCAAAAUGCACACUAAUCAUUUAUUAAUAUAAAUAACUAAAACUAAAUAAAAACACAACAAAGAUAUCUAAAUUGCUCGAAAAUAAGCUUUUAAGUGUGAUGGAGAGCCUAAUUUGACAUAUCAAUUUACAGCAUGUCAUAAAUAUAAUUUGCGGAACCUUGUUAAAAUUUUGGGUUUCUUUAUUAGUUUUCUUUCAAUAUUCUGUAUGGUACAUUUGUAUUAAUAUAUUGUGCAGAUCAUAGACUAAAUUGCUUUAUUAGUUUUCUAUUGUUAAUCUCACUUUUUAUUAAUUAAGGAAUACGAAUUAGAAUUAAUAUGAAAUUACUAUUUCAACAUUUCAUAAGAAAAAGCUAAAAUAAUAUUUGUCAUAUCCCAUAUGCUCAUAUAUAGCUUGUCGAAACCAUUUUCUUGUAAAAGGGGGGUUGACUUUGGUUUUAAAACGAAAAUUGGAGUCGUCACCGAUUAUUUUUAUGAGGUGUAAUCGGGUCACCUCGUAACGGUUUAAUUUAUAACAAUUUUGGUCUACGAAAUUUAGAAGAAAAAAAGGGGUUCGGGAGUCGGUUACGUACGAGGAAGGAUUAGCACCCUCAUAAUGUCCAAAAUUGGUACCUAAUUGAUUACUUAAUGUCUUAAUGUCGAAAAUUAAAAAUUCGAAAAGAAUUUAAAAUAAGAUCCCUGUUUAUUAAUGUUAUUUAUUUUAAAAGAAUUUGCUUGAAUAAGUUGCAAUGAAUGUCAAAGACCCUCCCGUCUCGAGAUAACUAGUGUCACGUCCCGUAAGUGAGGAUACGACGCUUGGAAACCUAGAGAAUAAGCCUGGCUUUAACUCUUACUGAGAUUUCGUGUGUUUUGAAAUUUAAAAGGAUAUUUUGUUAUUUAGGUUUAACGAGAAAAUCGAAACCUCGUAAGUUAGGGUACGAUUUUUCUCGAAUUUUCAAAACGCAAAAUUUUUUUUUUGAAUUUAAGUAAAAACUAAUGUAAUAUGUAAUAAGAUAUGUGUUUAAUUUAUUCAAACAUCGCCUGAAAGUGAACAAAUAAUUUUAAAAAAAAUGAUGUAUAAUGCAACAUAUUAACUACUACAACGAAAGUGAAAUGCAAUGAAAGUCAUGAAAUCGAAAGAUUAUCGAGACUAAAUUGAAAGUCAUGAAAGAAGACAUAAACAACACCACCAUACAAAAUGUUACACUCAAACAAACCAUUACAGAUAGUACGAAAUGAAAUGGAAAGACACAGGAAUUGGCACAAUAAUAAAGACAGACACAUACAAAUGCAAACCAUAGGCAAAACGGUCUACAGAACAAGAAAUUGUGAAAAUACAACACUAAUUCUUGAACAGCAUUUGCAGUAAUUAGAUCCUUCUUCGCCUAUUGCUUCGAUUGCCUUUAUUUGACUUUCUUCUUCGCCUCUUCUCUUGUUGGUUUUCAACCAAAUUCACCAACCAUUUUGGCUUUCCAGUUUGGAAAACAACAAAUCCCACGGACAUUCCGAACACCACUCCGCAUCCAUAGCCUAUCAACCCCACUUUCCAACCAAAAGCAAUGUUUGAUUUUGAGCCAUCUUUUUCAAGCACAUUUGGAGGUGCUGGCUUAAUGAUGUUGCAACCUUUAGAGACCGGAAAUCCACAUAGUCCCUUAUUUCCUUCAUAUGAAUCAUUUCCAAAUGUGUUGAACUGUUUGCCUUGAGGAAUCUGACCAUGGAGUUGAUUUUCAGAAACAUUGAAGGACGAAAGAAAUGGCAGAUCUACCAAUCUAUUUGGAAUCCUCCCAGACAAACUGUUUGAAGAUAGGUCCAACCAUUCAAGACUUGUCAAAUUCCCUAUUGAGGUGGGGAUACCACCAUUAAGGUUAUUAUGAGAAAGGUUGAGCCCUUUCAGUAAGUUAAGCUUCCCAAAAACCUCUGGAAUACACCCUUCAAACUGAUUGUUUGAUAGAUCAAUGAUCAUCCACAUGGUGAAAAUUUUCACCAAUUCCAUAUAUUGUCCUUUCAUAACAAUUCCGAUGGAAUAGGUAUAGAAGCCGCGACCUCCAGGAUCAUUCACCCCCAUGUACGACUCUAUAAUACCAAUCUUCUCUAGAUUUAUGAUAGCCUUGAAGCUGUUGAUGUAUCUCACUGGUAGGGGUCCAGAAAAAUAAUUACUUGAGAGGUCAAAAAUUUGGACUUUAGAGAAAAAAGGGCUAGACUUGGAGCUAUUGACACAUAAGGAACCACGCAUAUGAUUUGACUUCAAUACAAGAACUUGUAGCUGUGGAAGACUUCCCAACCAAUGAGGAAAUGUAUCAUUGAUCUUGUUGUUACCAAGAUCUAGCACUUCCAGACCAUUACAAUUAAGGAUGGAUGGUGUCAAAGGCCCUUCUAACAGAUUUCCAUUUAAGUUGAAAUUACUCAAUCGGCAUCCCUUUGCAAAUGUUGGAGGAAUCGUCCCAUAGAACUUGUUCUUCUUCAAAUUCAAGAAUUCGAGGCUGUUGCUCAAAUUUCCAAAACAUUGCGGAAUUGUUCCACUCAAGUUAUUGUGGGACAAAUCAAGAAUUCGAAGAGAAGUGACAUUGCAGAUUACAGAAGAGACCUCUCCAUUGAAACUAUUAUUUGAGAUCAGAAAGACAUCGAUCGUGGAAGCUGGAAUCGGAAGAUUUCCACGGAUCAAAUUGGAGCUUAAGUCAAGAACUGCAAUAUUCUUCCACGGGAAGUGCUCAACUUCUGUCAAAGAGUUGUGAGAUACAUUUAAGUAAGUCAAAGAGCCAUUCCCCACCUCUUGCAUCCACUGUGGAAUCUUGCCUUCAAUUUUGUUGCAAGAGAGGUCUAAGCUUUCCAAACUUUUAAGCCCUUUCAAAAAUUGGGGGAAUUCACUAAGAUUGCAAGAUGACAAAAAUAACCUUGUAAGAUUAAUAGUAGAAGUAGUGUUAGAUGUUAAGGAUAGGCUGUUAUAUGAAAGGUCGAGAUAUUUGAGAUUUGGAAGGUUUGAGAACAUGCUAAACUCUAUGACACCACUAAGAGUAUUUGAGGAUAAGCUGAGGCCGGUAAGAUUGAGAAGUUGGGAUAUUGAAGAUGGAAGAGGACCUUGGAGUUUAUUAUUCUCUAAGCGUAUCAAUUCUAGUGAUUUGGAUUGAAAUUCUUUGAUAUGCCCACUGAAUUGAUUUUGAGAGAGAUCUAUUGUCUUUAAGGAGGGAGCAGCAUAUAACCAUGACGGAAGUGUUCCAUUGAGUAAAUUGUCAGAUAAGGCUAAAGAUAUUAGAUUAGGAAAAGCGGUUACGUCAUCUGGAAUGGAACCUUCUAAACAAUUAUUAGAUAUUUCCAAGUAUUCCAGCUGCGUUAGGUUUAGAAUUGACAAUGGAAUUUGUCCACUCAAUUUGUUCCCUGACAAGUCUAAAUAAGUGAGUUGCAAGAGGUUCCCCAAUGAUAUUGGAACCGGUCCUGAUAAGUCGGAAAAGGAGAGAUCUAAAAACUUCAAGGACACAAGAUUCCCCAUCAAGUCAGGCAAUCCUCCAAAAUCAUUUGCGCCUGAAAUUAUCAAUUGCUCCAAAGAUGAUAAAUUUGUGAUUGAGACAGACAAUCCUUGAAAGAAAAAAUUUCCUGAUAGAUCUAAGUACUUUAAGGCCUGUAGAUUAUCAACUGAAUCAAUGAAUUCUGUAGUGGGGGACAUCCACGACAGAUCCAAAUGUUCAAGAUUGUUGCUCCGAUUCAACUUCAAAGGAUCAAGAUUGAGGACUGGGUUGCCUCCCAAGUUGAGGAGAUUGAGGUUUGGCAAUUCAAAAAUGUUUUUUGGGAAUUUUCCUUGCAAAUCACAAUAAGCAAGACUGAGAGACCUUAGAGAAGAGGAUAGAUUCAUGAAGACAUGAGCAUUAACAGAAGACAUGUCCAUUCCAUCCAAAAACAGAUGUCUGACCUCGGAUAGGUUGUGAACAAGUCCCUUCAGAUCAUGUUUGUCAAUUGUAAAUUGCUCAUGGACAUAAAUCAAAGCGGAGAGAUCAAGUGAAACCAAUUUUGACAGGCGGGAGACUUGGGAUGGGACUUCUCCUGCAAACCCUGUACGAGAAAGGUUGAGGUAUAAUAGGCUUGUAAACCGACCGAACUCGGAUGGAAUUCUGGAAAGAUUAAAAUCAUUGUAGGCAAGGUUGAGUUUUUGAAGGUGAGGAAGAAGAAAGAGAGUGGUAUUGGAAGGGAAGUUGCCAUAUAGCCAACUGCAGCUCAAGUCAAGGGCAAUAACAUGAGCAUUUAGGUGGUCACAAGUGACCCCAUCCCAUGAGCAGCAAUCUGUACCCUCCUUCCAUGAAUUUGUCUUGGGAUAAGAUUUAAGGCCAGCAAUCUCAUCGCAAUAGAAAAAAGCAUCCUCUGUCUGAGUGAUGGAAAAAGAAUUCUUGAACUGGAUUAGUGAAGCAGCUUCAGGGUGAGAGCAGGAGUGAGAUCCUGAAGAAGAAGCAUAAAGAUGGGGAAAGAAAAGGAAUAGGCAGAGAAAGAGAUAGGAGGCCAUGUUAUGUCUGUAAAGGAAGAAGAAGGAUAGGAAUGGUAUUUAUAGGCAACAAAUAAUACCACAACAUUGGUGUUACAGUCUUUUUUUUCUUUUACAUUGAAAAGCUAUGGAGAUUAGAUUAUCAAAAUUUUUGCAUUUUUCACAAUCAUCAACAACCACUUAGUCUUCUUUUUACCAUAUAUUUUUCAUUCUUAAAAUUAGAUGCUUGUUUUUUAGCAAAAUCUUGUAUUUCAUUUGAACUCCCUAAACAACUAAAAAAAUUAAGAUUGAUGAGAUUACAAAGUAGAUUGACUUAGUCUUCUUUCCUAUAACACUUAAAGAAUGUCUUGUCAACCAAAAGAAAUGUUUAAUUUUGAGCCAUCUUUUUCAAGCACAUUUGGAGGUGCUGGCUCACUGAUGUUGCAACCUUUCGAGACCGGAAAUCCACAUAGUCCCUUAUUUCCUUCAUACGAAUCAUUUCCAAAUGUGUUGAAUUGUUUGCCUUGAGGAAUCUGACCAUGGAAUUGAUUUUCUGAAACAUUUAAGGACGAAAGGAAUGGCAGAUCUGCCAAUCUUUUUGGAAUCGUCCCAGACAACCUGUUUGAAGAUAGGUCCGACCAUUCAAGACUUGUCAAAUCCCCUACUGAGGUAGGGAUACCACCAUUAAGGUUAUUAUGAGAAAGGUUGAGCCCUUUCAGUAAGUUAAGCUUCCCAAUAACCUUUGGAACUCCCCUUCAAACUGAUUGCUUGAUAGAUCAAUGAUCAUCCACAUAGUGAAAAUUUUCACCAAUUCCAUAUCUUGUCCUUUCAUAACAAUUCCAAUGGAAUAGGCAUAAAAGCCACGACCUCCAAGAUCAUUCACCCCCAUGUACGACACUGUACUACCAACCUUCUCUAGAUUUAUGAUAGCCUUGAAGCUGUUGAUGUAUCUCACUGGUAGGGGUCCAGAAAAAUAAUUACUUGAGAGGUCAAAAAUUUGGAUUUUAGAGAAAAAAGGGCUAGACUUGGAGUUAUUGACACACAAGGAACUAUGCAUUUGAUUUGACUUUAGUACAAGAACUUGUAGCUGUAGAAGACUUCCCAACCAAUGCGGAAAUGUAUCAUUGAUCUUGUUGUUACCAAGAUCUAGCACUUCCAGACCUUUACAUUUAAGGAUGGAUGGUGUCAAAGGCCCUUCUAACAGAUUUCUAUUUAAGUUGAAAUUACUCAAUUGGCAUCCCUUUGCAAAUGUUGGAGGAAUCGUCCCAUAAAACUUGUUCUUCUUCAGAUUCAAGAAUUGAAGGCUGUCGCUCAAACUUCCAAAACAUUGCGGAAUUGUUCCACUCAAGUUAUUGUGGGACAAAUCAAGAAUUUGAAGAGAAGUGACAUUGCAGAUUAAAGAAGAGACCUCUCCAUUGAAACUAUUAUUUGAGAUCAGAAACACUUUGAUCGUCGAAGCUGGAAUCGGAAGAUUUCCACGGAUCAAAUUGGAGCUUAAGUCAAGAAUUGCAAUAUUCUUCCAUGGAAAUCGCUCAACUUCUGUCAAAGAGUUAUGUGAUACAUUUAAGUAACUCAAAGAGUCAUUCCCCACCUCUUGCAUCCACUGUGGAAUCUUGCCUUCAAUUCCGUUGUAAGAGAGGUCUAAACUUUCCAAACUUCUAAGCCCUUUUAAAAAUUGGGGGAACUCACUAAGAUUGCAAGAUGACAAAAAUAAGCUUGUAAGAUUAGCAGUAGAAGUAGUACUAGAUGUUAAGGAUAGGCUGUUAUAUGAAAGGCCGAGAUGUUUGAGAUUUGGAAGGUUUGAGAACAUGCUAAACUCUAUGACACCACUAAGAUCAUUUGAGGAUAAGCUGAGGUAGGUAAGAUUGAGAAGUUGGAAUAUUGAAGACGGAAGAGGACCUUGGAGUUUAUUAUUUUUUAGAUAUAAAUAUUCUAAGGAGGGAGCAGUAUACAACCAUGACGGGAGUGUUCCAUUGAGUAAAUUGUUAGAUAAGUAUAAAUAUUUUAGAUUAGGAAAAGCGGUUACCUCAUCUGGAAUGGAACCUUCUAAUAAAUUUUCUGUUAUAUCCAAGAAUUCAAGCUGGGUUAGGUUUAGAAUUGACAAUGAAAUUUGUCCACUCAAUUGGUUCUGCGACAAGUCUAAAUGAGUGAGUUGCAAGAGGUUCCCCAAUGAUCUUGGAAUUGGUCCACUCAAUUGGUUCUGCGACAAGUCUAAAUUAGUGAGUUGCGAGAGUUUCCCCAAUGAUCUUGGAAUUUGUCCACUCAAUUGGUUCUGUGACAAGUCUAAAUGAGUGAGUUGCAAGGAGUUCCCCAAUGAUCUUGGAAUUUGUCCACUCAAUUGGUUCUGCGACAAGUCCAAAUGAGUGAGUUGCAAAAGGUUCCCCAAUGAUCUUGGAAUUUGUUCACUCAAUUGGUUCUGUGACAAGUCUAAAUGAGUGAGUUGCAAGAGGUUUCCCAGUGAUCUUGGAACCGGCCCUAAUAAGUUGGAAUAGUAUAGAACUAAAAACUUCAAGGACACAAGAUUCCCCAUCGAGUCAGGCAAUCCUCCAAAAAUAUCUGCGCCACUAAUAACCAAGUACUCCAAAGAUGAUAAAUUUGUGAUUGAGACAGACAUUCCUUGAAAGAAAGAAUUUCCUGAUAGAUCUAAGUACUUUAAGGCCCGUAGAUUAUUAACUGAAUCAAUGAAUUCUGUAGAGAAGGACAUGGACGACAGAUCCAAAUGUUCAAGAUUGCUGCUCCGAUUGAACUUCAAAGGAGCAAGAUUGAGGUUUGGCAAAUCAAAAAUGUUUUUUGGGAAUUUUCCUUGCAAAUCACAAUCAGCUAGACUGAGAGACCUUAGAGAAGAGGAUAGAUUCAUGAAAACAUAAGCAUUAACAGAAGACAUGUUGAUUCCAUGCAAAAACAGAUGUCUGACCUCGGUUAGGUUGUGAAUAAGUCCCUCCACAGCAUGUUUGUCAAUUGUAAAUUGCUCAUAGUCAUAAAUCCAACAGGAGAGAUCAAGUGAAACCAAUUUUGACAUGUGGGAGACUUGGGAUGGGACCUCUCCUACAAAUCUGGUAUGAGAAAGGUUGAGAUAUACUAGACUUUCAAACCGACCAAACUCAGAUGGAAUUUUGGAAAGAUUAAAAUCAUUGUAGGCAAGGUUGAGUUUUUGAAGGUGAGGAAGAAGGAAAAGAGUGCUAUUGGAAGGGAAGUUGCCAUAUAGCCAACUGCAGCUCAAGUCAAGGGCAAUAACAUGAGCAUUUAGGUGGUCACAAGUGACCCCAUCCCAUGAGCAGCAAUCUGUACCCUCUUUCCAUGAAUUUGUCUUGGGAUAAGAUUUAAGGCCUGUAAUAUGAUCGCAAGACAAAGAAGCAUCCUUUGUUAUGGAAAAAGAGUUCUUGAACUGGAUUAGUGAAGAGCAGGAGUACUGAGAUCCUGAAGAAGCAUAAAGAUGGGGAAAGAAAAGGAGUAGGCAGAGAAAGAGAUUGAAGGCCAUGUUAUGUUUGUAGAGGAAGAUAAAGGAUAGGAGUGGUAUUUAUAGGCGACAAAAAAAGGGUUACAGUCUUUUUUUAUUUGACAUUGAAAAGCUAUGGAUAUUAGAUUUUUAAAAUUUUUGUAUUUGUCCCAAUCAUCAACAACCACUUCCUUUUUACCAUAUAUUUUUCAUUCUUAAAAUUGGCUGCUUUUUUUAGUAAAAUCAUGUAUUUCAUUUGAACUCCCUAAACAACUAAAAAAUUAAGAUUGAUGAGAUUACAAAAUAGAUUGACUUAGUCUUUUUCCUUAUAACAUGUAAAUAAUGUGAGUGUCUAUUCACUUGCUUGUCAACCAAAGCUAAUUAAUAUGGAAAUUUUUUUGUACACAAAAGAAUAAAAUUGUGCUCUAUUCACUACGUUUAGGGAAGAAGACUGUUGGAAAUUUAAUACACCGAUUUCAUAAAAAAGUGUUUACUUAUAUCUAUAUAUAUAUAUAACCUCAUAAUUCAAAUCUAAAAUCUAAUUUGUUAUAAAUUCUAAUAAAUUUAUUUGGGGCUAGUUAUUUUUUAAUCAAGUAAAAAAUUAAAAUCGAAAACCUCAUUAUUUGUUGACGUGUUUACUUUUAUAUAUAUAUAUAUAUAUAUUUCUCUUUUAAAAAAUUAAAACUAAAAAUAUAUAAUGAUUUAUUUGGCAUUUUUUAACUUUACAAACAAAAAGUCAUUUUAGUUUUUCCCUUUUUUUUUUGUGUGUCUCUUUUAGCCUUGAAACUUGUAUAGUUUGUUAAAUCACCUAAAAAAAUGAUGAAAAAGUUAACAUCUGUAUACUAACAAAACUAGCACUUACGUGGCUGAUGUUGACUGUUAGUAGUUAAUGGCAACACCUAAGUGGCUAUUAACAGAUACCACACCAUUGUUUGUUGACGUGACGAUGCCACAUUAUUAAUAAUCGCUGACAUGGUAGUGCCACGCCAUCGCCCAUCGGUGACAUAUUAACCUUUGAGUUCAAUUCAAAUUUCUCUUUCCUUUGUUAUAAAUUAAGAAUAUAACUAAUUUUGAUGGGAAUGGUAACUUAUCAUUAACUCGGUUUAAAAGACUAUAACAGGUAAAGUUUAGUCCUAUUACUGUCCGUGCCACAUUAAUGUGAGACAUUUACAUUACGCAGAAUUCAAAGCAUAUAUGGAAAUUUUGCAGUAUUGACUAUUGAAUAUGCUCUACUCCACAAAAAAGACUAAGACUGUCAGUUGUCUAUUGACUUCACUUGAUGUUACUUCCUAUCACUCUCACCCAAACUUAAUUUACAAGGAACGUGGAGAUUUCAAACAUUUGCAGCACAAAAUACAAUAAUUCAACACAAUUUGCAGUAUUGACUAAAAGCCAUUAAACAUUCAUUAUUGAUUGCAAUUAUAAUUAUAACAUCAUUAAAAGAAACAUAUUAUUUUAAUUUAUUGCUUAAAAAUUCAAAGCGAACGUGGAAAUAUUUCAUGGGUUGGCACUAAAUGUGUGUCAUUUUCUAUUAAUUGCAAGAAAACUACUCGGGAAACUGCAUUUUUAUGGAAAAUUUUUUACUAUAAUGACUUAUUUUGUCCUCUAACUUUAUUUAAGAGAUUAUUUUAGUCCUCUAUUUAAUUUCGAAUAGUUGCAGAACAAAGUCCAAUAACUCCAUACAAAAUAACAACAAUUUGCAAUAUCGACUACGUUUACUCGAGAGGUAGAUAGAUGUGCAGAGGGAAAAAAAAAGACAUGGUUGCUGGAAAUUCUACCUUGUUUGUACAGUCGACUAAAGGCCAUUAAGGACAUCAAUUCCUCUAAUUAGAUAAUACCAAAUGGGAGACCAAUUAGGUUUACUCUUUAAACUUUUAGUCUCAUAACACCAUCAUUGAUUAGUGUCAAAAGUAACAUAUUUUAACCUCAUUCUUAGUACAUUGUUAAGUGAUUAUGUGACAUUAAUUGUGAAUUAUAUGCUUCUAAUCCUUUAUAAGAAUGGAAGCAAGAAGCUACAAGAGGAGAGCACAAAAUUACUUUGAGAACACCAUUGAAGCCUAUUUCCAAGUAAUUUUUCAUCAAGAUUUAAGAGUCUAAGUUGAUUUUAAAGAGAGUUAUCAUGGAUUUUUUUUUUAUUGUAGUGGUUAUAUUGUAUUUUUUUUGUGUUUACUCUUACCAUUAUGAACUGAUUCUCUUAAUACUUAGGGGAGAUGAACCUUAGAAUGAAUUCUAUUAUUUGAUUUAUAUUUUUAUGCAAUAAAAUCUUAGUCUCUUUGUUUUCAAUUAUGAAUGUUCUGUUAUUCUUGGGUUAAUAAUUCUAGAGUGUUAAUUCAUGUUUGAUGAGCAUAAGUCUGGGGUUGAAUAAACCCUUCUUGUGAUUAGAUCUUGCAUAAUUGAAUUGAGUUGCAUGCAAUUCUAUAAAUAAAACGACAUAAAUCUAUCAGAUUAAAGUCAAAUCUAAUUAGUGUAAUUGGAAAGUCAAAUGAUGUAUAUCACAAACGAGAAAUUCUAAUUAGUGUAAUUGGUAUUAUCAAAUGAUGACUUCAAAUGUUGAUCAUCCUCGACCACAAACUAUCUAAGUUUGCAGUGUGAAAGCAGCUACUUCCAUUACAGAAACCUUUCACUGUAUAUUGACUUGGUCUUAUUUCCUAUAACACCUCAUGUUUGGUCAUAGAUGGUGGAAGAUAGUAGAGACUCGAUACAACACACCAUUUGCACCUGCAAUUAAGCUUCUUUAAAAGGAAAUGGGAUCCACCAAUUUUACCUAAACUCACAUCAACAUUGUUAUGGGGCUUUUCAUUUCGUGAAGCACCUAAUAUUUGUCUCAACGUGUUUACUGGUUCCUCAAUUUCACAUCAAUGCAUUCAAUUUCAAAAUAGAUUAAGUUGUUUGGUUCAAAUACCAAGACUGCCAACAUCUAUUGACUUCACUUGGUCCGGCUUCCUCUCACUGUCAACCAAACUUAAUCGAGAAGUACUAAGGAAAUUUCAGUCAUUUGCAGCGUAAUGUACAGGAACUCCACGCCCACAAAAUAAUUUAUAAUAUUUUGGAUGGAUGUUGCGUUUACUUACGACUAGUGUAAAAAUAAUGGUAGCGGUGAGAUUAGGUAUUGUAGCAUGAGACCAAAAGUAAAUUAAACACACCACACCGCACUCAAUCGCCUAUCCGAAUUCACCCUAAGUUUGAUGUGCUGAGAAAAAAAAAGCAUGAAUGAUGAAGAAUUAAAGCCAAUACUUGGUAAGUACCCUAAUUAGUUUACAAGUAAAUAUUCUUGUACUAAUUAUUCAGGCAAACCUUAGCCAAUAAUAAAAAAUAUAUAAUGAUCUAUUAGGUCCUCCAACUUUAUAAAAAAGAAUCAUUUUAACUCAGGGGCAUAAUUAGGGGUUGACAAGGGCCUGCCUGAAAUUACAAUUUGGCCCUCCCUAAAAUUGAUAAAAAUUUGAUUUAAUUAUUUAAAAAAUAUAAAGAUAUAGAGUAUUAAAAUGGUAAAAUUGCAUUUUUACUGUCAUAAAUAUUUAUAAUUUAAUUUCGGCCCCCUAAAAAAUUUUCUGGCUUCUCCCAUGUUUUAGCCCUUCAUUUAAUUUUUCAUCUUUUUUAGCCCUUUAAUUUGUAUUAUUUGACAAUUCACCUCAAAAAAGAUAGAAAAGUUAAUAUUUAUUAACUUUGUUGACGUGACAUCCACAUGACAGUACAUGUGUAUGUAACGUCAACAAUCAAUUAAUUUUUUAAAACUUAAAAAUAUUUUUUAAUAAUUUUUGAAUUUUAAAAAUUAAUUAAUUAUUAAUGUGGCAUUCAUAUGACAAUCCACAAAAAUUAAUUAAUAAUUGAAAGUUGCGUUACAUUAAAAUUAGUUUGUUAGAAUGGAAUUCUAAUAAAUUUAUUUGGGAAUGAUUACUUUUCGUUAAAGUGGAGUCAAUAUUACUUGGUUAACUAUUUCUCUUUUAGCCAACUACAAAAUUCAAGUCCAUUACAAAAUUGUAGAGGGACUAAAUCCCUAAAAAUAAAAUGUAUAGAGAUUAAACUUUAAAUUUACAAAGAGUACAAGAAAUUUGAAUAUAUUACAACUAUUAAAUUUUCCCUCUAUAAUUUAGUUAAAAAUAAAUAAAUAAUUCCCUCAACGCCAAACGUGGAUAAUAAACAUACUAGUUUAAUGUAUAUAUUUGGUACACUUUUUUUUUAGUAAGAGCAUAUCACCACCAUGUCAGCAAUUUUAAGAUGAUGUGGUAGUGCCACAUAUUACUAUUUCUCUUUUGGCUAACUAGAAAAUUAAAAUAGAAAAAAAGAUGAUCUCAUUUCGAAAGACUAUAAGACGUAAAAGUUUGGUCCAACACUGUUAGCGUCUAUUGACUUCAACUGCUUUUACUGUUUGUGUCAACCAAAUUAGAUAACCUGCAAGCAGUGUAGGACAUCUGCAUAAUGCAAAAUUUUACACAAAUAAUAUGAAAUUUUUGCAAUAUUUGACUGUAUACAUUUACUCGAGAAAACUGCGAUUAGGUGAGAAAUUUUCACAUUCAUGCAUUGAAGUUCGAGAUACCUUUAGAAUUUAUUGAAAAAUGGUAAUUUUUAGAAAAUUUGAGGCAUAUUUGUGAUUGGUAAAUGUGGAGAGUUGAAUCAUAAAAUUAUGAGACCUUUAUAAUGGUAAUCUUCUUGUGAAUUGUGUUGAGAAAAAUGAGAAGCAUUAGUCUCAUGCUGGUUGAGAAUUAAGUGUGGGACUUAUAUAUAUAUAUAUAUGUAUGUAAAUCAACUUAGUAGCUAUUUAAUGACUAAAGCUUGAAACUCUGUCUCAUGCGCAAUUGGGGUGCAAAUCUAAACCCAUCGGGGUUGGGGCAUACCCGCACGACAUGGGUGACGCGAAAUGUCCGGACCAAUAGGGCCCAAGAAUGGCAUGCAGAUAUUUUAGCCCAAUACAAAAGAUAUUAUACAGAAUUUGUUUAAAAGGACAAAUAUAUCAAUUUGAUUUUAUUUGAUUCAAAUUGAUUUAAAGGCUCCUCAAAUUUUAUUCAAAUUUAUCUCAGGAUACACAACGAAUUUUCAAACAUUUCGGUGAUAGAAUAAGGCAAUGUUUGUUCGUUGAUCACUACAUAGGUACUACUGCUGCGAUUAUUUUGUUGUUGUAUCCUGAGAGACAGAUGACUAACGCUUCUCCAAUUGUCAUAAGAACGACCAAAUCUAUCUUAAGAAAACUAUGAAAGCAGGUCUCAACAUCUAAUAAAACUCAAUUCCCUUAUUUUAUUUUUGAUUUUUUAAAAUCUUGUUUAUUUAAUUAUUUUUAGAUCUAAUGUUUUAAAUAAAUAUUUAUUUAAUUUGUUUUAUUUAGAUCUAGUAUUUUUACAUAAAUAUAAAUAUUUGUUUAUAUUAUUUGUUCAGAUCGUGCAUUUAAUAUUUAUAUUUAUUCGGUAACGUAUUUUCUCCAACAAAUUUAUCUUUAUAGUGGAUCCACUUUUUGAAUUAUAUUAACACUGCAAAUUAUUCUGAUGAAUCUUAUUGAAAAUUGUUCUUUUGAUGAAAUUGUGGGUCAAUGUUGUUUCGUAAUUUCUCUUUUAACCCAUAUAUAUAUAUAUAUAUAUAUAUAUAUAUAUAUAUCUAUGCAAUGCUAUUGUAUAUAUUAUUGUUACUCAAAUAUGAUGAUAGAUCUAUCGGUUUGGGACAUCCUAUUAUUUUACCUAGAAAUUUUUAAAUUAAAAAAAAAAUAGUUACAUGGAUGGAUUGAAGUUAAAAAUGAGUGACAUCCUCAAUUAAUAUCAAGACUAGAGCAUAAAAAUUAAAAGAUUAUAUCGUCCCUAAGUGUGUAUAAAUUAAUAACACUUUAAAAAUUUUGAGCAAAUACCAGGCCCAAACUGUUAACCUAUUACCUAAACUGUAACAUCUUGAUUUUGUGUCUAGUAGGAACAGUAGUCGAGAGACCACAAAUCCGACAUCAAAAUAUUUUUUUAUUAUUUUUAUGUCUAUAGUAUGAUACUAAAGUUGUGUGAAAUUUUCAUAAAGAAAUUUCUUCGUUUGAGUACUCAAUUUGAUAAAAAGAACUAAAUCGCGUAAGGUGCAAAACUUGAGGUCUAAUUGAUAAAGGCACUAAAUAGUUAUAGAAUUGAAAAGUAUGGGCACUUGCAUGGAAAUUAUACCAAUAAAAAAGUGAGGAGACAAAGAUGGACAUGUAGUAGAUGGAUUUGGUGAAGUUACUAAAAGUUAAAUUGGUAAAUAAGUUAAUAGGAUAAUAAGACAAAAUAGCAAAAGCUAUCAUCUUUAUUUUUCUUCUUCUUCAACCGUAAUAGAAAAAAAUGGAGGGUUUCAUUUGGCCAAGCUUUGGAGCUUAUGUGAGUGGUUUUUGCCCCGUUUUUAAUGAUUUCUAUGUUUUUGGAGUUGUGGUAACUCGAUUUAGCUAUCUCGUACCUUCAUUUUCAAAACUGUUAAAGUUUGUAAAUUUUGCCAUGGUUGAUAAAGUGUGUAUUUUGAUAAUUGAUGAUAGAAAAUACAUCCUUGUUGUUAGAUAAACAACAUUUGUAAAGACCACAGGCAGUGGAAACAACAAGAAGGCCAUAGCCAACCAACAAAACACGAGAACGACCCAGAUGCUAAAAAAAAAAAACACAUGAAUUCCAACAAUUGCAUAACCCCAAUUUCAACACCAAUUAGUUUUACUCAACUCUAAUCUGUAAUUACACUCAUUGUUGAAAUACCAUUACAAUAGAUAAAGACAUAUAACUAAAUUGGUCGAGGCAAAACAUUACACACACUUAAAAAUUAGAUAUAUGCUUGAACAUGGUGAAAAUUCCAAUAACCUUUGGAAUCUCUCAUUCAAACUUAAUAUUUGAGAGAUCAAUGAUGGUCCACAUGGUGAAAAUUUUCAUGAAUUCCCUAUCUUAUAUAUCCUUUAAUAACAAUUCCAAUUGUUGAGAUUUAUGAUAGCCCUAAAAUUGUUGAUGCAUCUCACUGGUAGUGGUCCAGUAAAAUAAUUACUUCGAAAGUUUGGUCCAAGACUGUUAGCGUCUAUUGACUUCAACUGCUCUUGCUUCCUCUUACUGUUAGUUUUCAACCUAAGAAUCUACAAGCAACCAUGCAGAAUUCCACACAAAUAAUAUGAAAAUUUUGCAGUAUUGACUAUAUACAUUUACUCGAGAAAAGCUGAGAUUAUAGGCUUGGAGAUCCUAAUUUUUACUAUUUAAAAUAUUUGUUACCUGAUCUAUUUAAAAACAAAAAUUCUUUUUCAUAUCACUGUGAAAUUUGUGAAUUGGCUAAACAACACCGGUCAUUCUUCCCACCUCAAAAAUAUAAAGCUUCCAAACCUUUUUCGUUAAUUCAUAGUGAUGUUUACGGACCUUCAAGAGUCUCAAUUUUUUUAGGAAAACGUUGGUUUGUCACAUUUAUUGAUGAUCAUACUCGCAUUUGUUGGGUGUUUCAAGAGUCUCAACUUUUUCAAGAAAACGUUGGUUUGUCACAUUUAUUGAUGAUCAUACUCGCAUUUGUUGGGCGUUUUUAUUAAAAGAUAAGUCUGAAGUUAAAAAUGUGUUUCAGUCUUUUUAUGCUAUGGUGAAAACACAAUUUUGUGUGAAAAUAGAAGUACUUCGAAGUGACAAUGGUGGGGAAUUUUUUAGUAACCAAUUAGGUGUCUUCUUAACCAAACAUGGUAUAGUCCACCAAAGCUCUUGUACAAAUACACCACAACAAAAUGGGUUUGCAGAAAGAAAAACCGACAUAUUUUGGAAGUAACUAGAGCCUUGAUGUUCACUAGUCAGAUACCACAUUAUCUUUGGGGUGAACCCGUGUUAACUGCUACAUAUCUUAUUAAUAGAAUGCCUAGUAAAACUCUAAACUAUAGAACUCCUUUCAGUCUCUUUACAGAUAACUUUCCUAACUCUAAAUUGACCACAGAUUUAUCCCUCCGAGUUUUUGGGUGUAGUGUUUUUGUCCAUCUUCACAAUCAAGGUAAACUAGAUCCUAGAGCAAAAAAUGCUUUUUUGUUGGCUAUGCUUCUAGUAAAAAGAGUUACAAAUGUUACAAUCCAAUUGAUUGGAAGAUUAUUGUUACCAUACCUUAUGUUCAUGAAUUCUCAUCAUCACAUGUUUAUAAAUGCAACUCAAACUUGAAUAAUUGAAUAUUUUGUAAUUCUACAUGUAUUUUUUUUAUGGUGAGCAGUAUAAUGUUCACUAAAAAUUGAAAUUCAAGAAAGAAGACAUACAUAGUUGCACCAUACAAGAUGUUACACUCGAACUAAACCCUUACAAAUAGUACAAAUUGCAAUGAAAUACAGAGGAAUUGGUACAAUCAUAAAGACAGACACAUACCAAUGCAACUUUUCACCAUAGGAAAAACUUUCUGACAGACUACUAAACAAGAAAUUAUGAAGACACAGCAGAAAGGCUUUAACUUCAUUUGCACCAACUAGAUCCUUCUUCAUCCAUUGAUGCGAUUGCUAUAUUUUGGUUUUCUUCUUCGCCUCUUCUCAUGUUGGUCUUCAACCAAAUUCACAAACCUUUUCGCCUUACCGGUUUGGAAAACAACACAUCCCAUGGCCAUUCCAAACACUACCCCGCAUCCAUAACCUAUCAACACCACUUUCCAAUCAAAAGCAAUGUAUCGAAAUGGGGUGGGCAAUGGUCGACUCAAAAGCGGCACACAGAGGGUAGAUUUUAGGGUUGGUUAGAUUUUUUUUUAGAAAUGGAGUGUCUGCUAAUAUUUAGGGUUUAUGUUGAGUUAUUUAUGGCGUAUGAAACGACGACGUUUGACGCCAUUUCAGUGGUUUCAAAACGGCGUCGUAUACGGCCGAGAUUCGUGCGGUGACUCGACCCGGGGAGGAUCCGUGUGUUUUCACAUUGGUGGGAUAUCUGUGCUCUAGGUCCUCAAUAUUUGCACUUUGUUUUAAUUCGGUUUCUUUUGAUUCUUCAAAUUGGGCUUCAUAAUUUCUUGCUGACUUCAUUUUAGUCCACUUGCAGCGCUGCGUUUUGGUGGGCAAGGAAUAUUUCCUAUUUUAGUCCCCCAUGUUAUUCAUGAUUUGUAAUUUGGGUCCUUUCCUUUUAUUUAUUUUAGAUUUUUCCCCUGAAUUACUGCUUUAAUGCCAAUUUAGUUCUUUGUUUGUUAUUAUUGCUAUAGAAUUAUUUAGUUUGUUAUUAUUGGUGUUACUAUUAUUAGUUUAUAUAUUUACUUAUUUUUAUGCAUGUACAUUAUUUUAUUAUGUAGUCUUAUUUUAAUUAUUUUUUUAUCUAAUGCAUUAGUAUAUAUUUUUAUGUUAAUUCAAUAUUAUCUAUACAUUUUUAAUGAGUUUAUUUUUAUAAUACAUUUUUCUUAAAAUGUUUAUUUAUAUAUACUUUUGUGCUUUAAAAAUCAAUAAUAUUUUUAUAUAAUACUAUUUUAUAUAUAUAUAUAAUUUGUAUUAAGUUUUUUUAUUAUACAUAUAUAUACCUAAUAUAUCAUCGAUUUCAUAUUUACGUAUUUUUUUACUUAUUUCAUCAUUUAAAACUUUACUUUAUUAUAAACUUGAUUUAUAUCAACCUUUUAUACAUACAAUUAUACAUAUAUUAUUAUAAGAAAUUUUACAAUCCAUAUGUAAUAUUUAUUUAAAUUAAUAUGUAUAUAUUAUUUCAUGUAUUUCGGUUUUCUUCAUAUACAAUACUCACUUUAAAAUUUAUUUUAAUAUUAUUUUUUUCAUAGUAUUUAUAUUUUAUCUUCAUUUUUGACUUAUUUCAAACUCAUAUAUGUAUAUUGUUUAUUUUAAAAUUUUACACAUAGAACUCAUUUUUUGUAUUGAUAAUUUUAAAUUUCCUUGUGUAUGUUUUUUUAUUUAUUCUAAAACUUGUUACAUUUUAUUUGUGUUAAUCUGCUUGUUUCUUAGUUUUUUUAUUAGCUUUUAAAUAUUAAUGUUGAUAUUUACGUGUGAUGUAAGAUUAUUGCCCUAAUGUGUAUUGUAUUGCUUAUUUGUAUUCAUUAGUAUACAUUUUGGCUUAUGAAUUAUCAUUUCACGUUACAUUAUCAUUCCAUCAUUUUUUUUAAAAAGGGGAUUACGUUUAAUUUAAGCACUAAAAUCGAUUUAUCCAUAAGAUAACGCAAUACUCGGCAUUUGAGAUCUUCGAGCAGAUUGAGUCCUAACGUAUUGGGUUCCAAUUUUCCUUGUUGAAUCUAAAUAAUCAAGAAUAUUCUUUAAUCAAAACACAUAAAUAAAAAGCUCAUUCUCGGGAAUUUGAUACGUUGUGUCCUAACGCAUUGGAUAUGGCAUAUUGUUUUCUCGAGAUGAGGAUUUUUUUCUAAAAAAUAAUAAAGGCAAUAUUCAAUGUUUGGAAUUUUGAGAAAUUGUGCCCUAACGUAUUUGGUUUCGAUAUUUCAUCUGACUUAAACAAUUGAAUAUCCUUUUUAAACUUCACUGCAUGAGUUUUAAAAAAAAAUCAAAAGACAAGCUCAUUUUUGAGGAUGCGAAACAUCACAUCCUAACUCAUUGGAUGUGACAUUCUAUCUCCCAAAAUGAAGGGGGUCUUAGCACGCAUUUUGAUUACAUUUGAGCUCCCUAAACAACUAAGAAAAUUAAGAUUGAUGAGAUUACAAAGUAGAUUGACUUAGCCUUCUUCCUUAUAAUACGUAAAGAACGUGAGUGUCUAUUCACUUAGUAUGUAUGGCCGUCAAGCAAUGUAGAAAUUCGCACACAAAAGAACGAAAUUGUGCACUACUUAAAAAUUCAAAGCAUGUGUGACCUAUAUUCAUUUAUUUUAUUGCAUAAAAUUCAAGGCAUGUAUGUUGAAUAAUUUUAUCCAAGAAGCAUAUUUUCCACAAAACUUUAAUUUGUUGCCAUUAAAUAUGUCAUUUUCUAUUAACGGCAAAAAAACUAUCCGGUAAACCGCAUCUUUUUCUUUAGAUGAAAUUUUGUAAAAAAAAUUUGACAUUAUCACUAAUAUGGUCCUUCAAUUUUAUUUUUUUUAAAAUCAUUUUAACUCUCGAUUUAAUAUUUCGCCUCUUUGAGCUUUUAAAUUUGCGUUAUUUAUCAAAUUAUCUCAAAAUGGAUGAAAAAGUUAACAUUUGUUAAUUUUAUUGACGAGACAUACAUAUCGAUAUCAUAUAAACAGUUAAUUGAUUUUUUUAAAAAUUUUUAAAAAUAAAGCAUAUAUUAAAAUUUUCUAAGAAAUAAUGACCAAACUUGGAACAAUCGCAGAAGAAUGUCCAAUAAUUCCAAACAAAUUAACGCAACAUUUUAGUUAUUGUCUACUGUCCAAUAACGCCAUGUGUAUUAGUACAAACAUUCAUUAAACCUAAUUUAAUUUUAGCCCUUAAUUUAAUUUUUCAUCUUUUUUUAGCCCUUAAUCCACAUUGUUUAUCAAAUAACCCUUAAACUUACAUUGUUAUCAGAUGAAAAAAUUAAUAUAUAUCUAUUAACUUUGCUAGCGUGCAUAUAUAUGCAACUUCAUUUAAAUCUAAAAAAUAUAAAAAUUUAUUAAAUAUGUAUAAAUCUAAAAAUUUCUUAAAAUUAAAACUAAAUUUUUUUAAACUAAUGCAAAUUUUUAGUAUUUAAAAAAUCUUAAAAUUUUUAAAUUAAAUUCCUUUUCUUUUCCAGCGUUGAAGAACACCUUCAAUCACAUCAACAACUUCAUGCUGUUUUGCCUAGAAAUUGUUUUGCAAAUUUAUUUUGUUUUAUUUAUUUCUAAACCCAUAUUUCUUUUCUAUAACUCUAAUUAUUAGAUUGUUUAGGGUUUUGAGUAACUUUCGAUUUUGGAAUUUUAGAUUUUUUAAAUUUAAAUACGAAGUGCUUUUCUUCUUCUCCAAACCCAUAAUUUUUUCUGCCAAAUUUCAACUCAAGGUUUCACUUUUAGCUAUAAAUAAAACAUAUAUUAUAUUUAUAAUGACCUAAGAAUAGUAAAGUUGACGCCGAUCUACAUGAAAAAGGAGGAAAAAAAAAACAGGCAAAGAAAGAUAAUAUGAAGAGAGCAUAAAUCAAUAAAGCAAAUGAAAAACAAGUAGAAUUAAAGUGAAUGAGUAUUUAAUAAUUUUUUUGUGAAAAACGAGUAGAAUUAAAGUGAAUGGGUAUUUAAUUUUUUUUUUUGUGAAAGUUCAAAGACUGAAUAUUUAUGAGCUUGGAUGUGGAAAAAUUAGUUGGAAUUUUUUUUUUCUUGCACCAAUUGAUUUUUUAUAUAAAAUUUGUAUUUAUUUUUUAAGAUUUUUAAAUUUUGUUACAAUUAUUUUUAUGAAAAUUUGAAAAUAUAAAAAUACUUUUUGAACUAUAAUUCAAGGAUUAAAUUAGCUAUUAAUCAUUUGAAUAAAUAAAACAUAUACAUGAAUUAAGUAAUUAAUCCACAAGCAAUGUUGGACAUUUUCAUAAUGCCAAAUUUCACUUCAGAUUUAGUUACCCAUAAUCAUAUUUAAACAAACAAAAACACAACAAUCACACAAAAUAGGCAUAACUAGAAAACAUGAGAAAAAUGAGAAAAGCUUGAAAACAAUUACAAUGGUAGCAAAGGAAAUGUAAAAAAAAAAAAAAAACACUUAAAAAUCAGAUUUUUAAUGAUGAAGGGAAUUGAUUUAUACUAAAACCAAGAAUUAAACUAAAAAUACAAAGAGUUACAGGUACUAAACAAGCAAAUAAAUCCUAGCUACAAUGAUAAUUAACUUAAUUAACUACUAUUGGAACCAAGAAAAACUAAAAGAAAACAUGAAUUACACCCUAGAGUUAUGGAGAAGAAAACAAAAACUCUAAAAAUAAAGAGGAAAUUUGAAAACCAUGAAAUGUUAAGUGUGCCUUUUGUUCAGCCAAUUUUUUGCCCUUUCUAGAAUUACAGAUCCAAAAAUAGUGACCAAAUUGUCCUUGAUCGUCGAAUUUUGGUUAGGGGACAUGUUGGAAAAGGAUUAGCCCUACGGUUAUAUUUUGUCUUCUCUCAUCAAUGAUAUUGCGAUACCCAAAUUUGGUAUCGCGAUAUCCACAACAGUCUUGGGGAUCCUUGGGAGUUUUGGGUAUCGCGAUACCUUACGACCGGUAUCAAGAUAACACUAUUGAUGGCUCAAUCUUCCUUGUUUUUAACAUUGUUAUGGGUAUUACGACUUUCAUGCUUUGAUAUGCGAUACCCUCUUUCUAGGUGACAUUUUUGCUCCUUUCGGGCCAUGAUGGGCUCUCUGCAUCACUCACCAACCUCAUUAGAUUCCCCAGGUGCCAUUUGGCCAUCUCAGGUCUCAAAAUAGCAUCAAAAUGCACACUAACCAUUUAUUAAUAUAAAGAACUAAAACUAAAUAAAAACACAACAAAGAUAUCUAAAUUGCUCGAAACUAAGCUUUUAAGUGUGAUGGAGAGCCUAAUUUGACAUAUCAAUUUACAGCAGAUCAUAAACAUAAUUUGCGGAACCUUGUUAAAAUUUCGGAUUUCUUUAUUAGUUUUUCUUUCAAUAUUUUAAACGGUACAUUUGUAGUAAUAUAUUGUGCAGAUCAUAGACUAAAAUGCUUUAUUAGUUUUCUAUUGUUAAUCUCUUUUUUUUCUUAUUAUUAACACCACUUCCUUUUUACCAUAUAAUUUUUAUUCAUAAGAAAGAAGUGAAAUAAUUAGAAUGAAUGAGAUUACAAAGUAUAUUGACUUGGACUUGCUUCCUUUAUAUGUAUGAAUGUGGAAAUUGGCAUAAUGCCAACUUAUUUUCCACGCAGAAGAAGAAAAUGGUGCUCUAUUCACUCAGUUUCUAACAACACCAUAAUAACAACACCAAUUUGAACUCCCUAAAGAAAGAAGAAGUGAUGAGAUUAGAAAGUAUAUUGACUUGGUCUUGCUUCCUUUAUAUGUAUGAAUGUGGAAUUUGGCAUAAUGCCAACUUAUUUUCAACGCAGAAGAAGAAAAUGGUGCUCUAUUCCCUCCCUUUAACUUAGCAACUAAGGUCUAGCAAACAAGGCCACAUAUGACUUAGAUAUAUAUAUAUAUAUAUAUAUAUAUGGUCCCUAAGUGUGUAUAUAUUAAUAUAUUUUAAAGUAGACAAACUUAUGCCUUAAAAGUUGAAUAAUAGUAUCUAAGAAACAAAUUUUCCACCAGACUGAAAAUUUUGUAUUGCUUGGAAUUAAUUGACUGUCAUUUUCUAUUACUUGCUAGAAAUAUAUUGUAUUGCUUUAAAUUCAAACAAGAAAUAGGGGAAAUUUCACAUCAAUGCAUUCACUUCACUUGGUCAACUUGAUCGACUAGCAGGAAGGAAAUUUCAGUCAUUUGCAGCAUCAGAAUUCCACACCCUCAAAAUAAUUUGCAAUUUCAAAAAUAGAUGAAUUAGUGUGGUUCAAAUACCAAGACUACAAUAUCUAUUCACUUCACUUCGUCUUUAUUACUCACACAGAAUUUAUCAUCAUCAUCAUCAUCAUUAUAUUACUCUUUUAUUGUUAUUUUUUAUUUUUUUCUUGUUACUUUUAUUUGUUAUUAUUAUUAUUUUUAUACUUUCAUGUUUUCUUUUUCAUAUAUUCCACCUUUUAUUUGUUUAUUUAAUUCUUUUACUUAAUUAAUAUUAGAUUUUAUUAGUUGAUGUUAUUACUUAUUUAUUGUUUUUGAUAUAUCAUCGCUUCGUUAAUAUGCACCAUCAUUUUAUUAUUGUUACAAUUACGUCACGAGCCGUUUUAAAUGUAUUCAUGCUUUUCUAAUAUGCCCCGAAUAAAUUAAAUACCUACCGUUUUAAAUAUUACAUUAACUUUUAUGCGAUACCUAAAAAACGAAUUUUUUUUUUACCAAGACAAAUGUUUGUUAUUUCAAAUUUAGAAAAAUCAUGUUCUAACUUACGGAAUAUGGUUUCCUUCUAAAAUUGAGAUAAUUGAAUAUAUUUUAAAAUAAAUAUUAUUUUUUUUGCAUUUGUUCUCGUUUUCGGGAUUUAAGGCAUGGUGUCCUAACUUACGGAACGUUAUCCUUUUUCCCAAUUAAUUUGAAAUAAAUCCAUUUUUGUGAAAACAAAAUUAAGUAAUAUUGUAACGAAGGAUCGUAUUUUAAAAUCUCUUCAAAUUCUCAAUUUUUGACACUAAGACAUUAAUUAAUUAAUCAAUUAGGUACUAAUUUUGGGCGGUACGAGGGUGCUAAUCCUUCCUCGUACGUAACCGACUCUCGACCCAUUUCCUGGAUUUUUGUAGACCAAAAAUUGUUGCUUCAGUAAAUCAAAUCUUUUAUUAAAACGAUUAAAUUGGAAAGUGAUCCGAUCACACCUAAUAAAAAGGAUUGGUGGCGACUCCCAUUUUCGUUUUCAAAAUAAAAGUCGACCCUUUUCAAAAAUAGUUUCGACAAUGUGUAACAAGUAUUUUUAUUAAUCCAUUUGGAACAAGAUUUUGUUGUCUAAUGUUAAGGUUUGCUGGAGCAAAUAAAUUGAUUAAUGCUUUGAACUUUCCCAAACACUUUUUAUAGUUUUGUUAUAUGCAUUUUGUAUAAUUAGUAUAUUUGAAUAUAUUAGAUACAUUGUCUAAAACAAUGUCAAUUGUAAUUUUUUAUAUUUUAUUGAUCAUAAGCUUAUUAUAUAAAUAAUAUUUUUUUAAAAAGAUGGAGUGAUACAUUUACGUAGUGCUUAUGAAUAUAAUGUUGGAUUAAAAUCCUUAAUUCUGAGUACAUAUGUAUAAUGCUUGAAAUUACAAUUAUCUUAAUAAUUUUGUUUCUGUUUUUGUUGAUUGAUGAUUAUAAAAAUCAUUAUUCUUCUGAAGGCAUGCUUUGUUGUCAAUGACAGUACCUGCACCCUAGAAAAAUCACCAGCUUUAACAACUGUAAGAGUUGUCCUGCCUGACAUUUACUAAAAAAUCACCAGGAAGCACAUUGUCAGGAGAUCCUUGCUGGAAAAAACUUGGUAGGAUGGUUUCUUUUUCUGCAAACUUAGGAUUUCAAUUGAUGUUGAUGCAACAUUUUAGAUCAAGGAACUUGCAAGCCUAUUAUGGUAGAAAUGUUUUAUCCAAAUGAUAAAGAUGUUGAUGCAACAUUUUAGAUUGCAAAUUCCUUGAUCACAUUUGGAAUCCUAAUCACAGGGACUUGCAAGCCUAUUAGCUCCAGGAACUUUAGAUUGUACCUGUUCAAAACAUUUUUUCAAAGAAGGAACCAUAGGUGAAAGGCGUCUAUUCUGGUUCAUCUCAUUGAAUACAUCAAAUGAAGGAUCAAUACGCUGAAAAAGGGACAAUGGAAAGAACUUUAGCCAACAACUUGAAUUUUAUAACUACUCCUAUGCCAACCAGCAAACCAUAACAGCGUGUACAUAAAAAAGAGGAUGCUGACUUACAAUUCCUUUCAUUUCACCACAACCAAUCAAAUCCCUUGCAAUGCUGUUUGGAUCACAGCAGCUCAUCUUUCAAUCCUAGAUGGCUCCGCCAAUUUUUUGAAAGCAUACAUAAACUGUUAAAGAAAUAAAUGGAUAAAACACCUACAGGAUAGAAGGCUGAAAAAUUACAAAGGGCAAUGACCUUAUUGUUAAAAUUCCAACGUCCAUUCCUUGGAAAGAUAUCUUACACCAUUGCCCACUCAAGAGAACUCAAAUAGCAGCAAGAUCUAGUAUAAAAUGUAACUCUCAACAACAUACACAAAUGUUUGUUCUAUCAAGGAACAACAUACACAGACAUAUUCACCUACCCUUGGUGCUGGCAGAAUAUGCCCAUUCACUUGGGUGAAAUUAGAGUUGAUAUUAACCCCACAAGAUUUCAGCACCAUAAUUACUGCUAAGUAAAACCUGCACAUAAAUUUUCAGCGCUAUGUAUACAUUGUGUCACUUGCAUCCAAAUCAAAUAUUUCGGGCUACAGAGUUUCAUAGAUAUGACGAAGGUAUUAUCGGGGGAUUGUACCAUGUAUACCUGACACGAAGGACCUACGACUAUGGGAGAUCUCAAGCACUUCGUUUUCCAUGCGCACAUGCAAUUGCUGCAUGUGCCUCAACAUGUCUGGACUGCAUGAGCUAUGUUGACGAUGUGUACAAACCAAAAUGCAUAUAUAAAGUAUGAAAAUUUGAAUUCCCACCAGACCCAAAAAGCCUACUGGAUUUUGGUCGGAUACGCAACAAUAUGAAUAUUUGGGAGAAGAUUGACCAACCAAGGUUAUACAAUUAUUGUAGGAACGGCCUGGGCAUAGUAAGUCAAGAUGUCCACAAUUGGGGGCAACAUUGAGGAGAAGAACAAAUUAAAACAUUCGAUCGUUUUUUUUUGAAUAAGCAUACAAGAAAAAACAAAUAAAUUUUUUCAUUUUUUCAUUGCUUCUCAGCUUUUGGUAAAUUGUAAAUAAGUAUAUAUAAUUAAUGUAAAAUACAAUACAAUACAAAACAAUAUAAAUACUUUUUUUCCUUUUUUUUAGAUUGUAAAUAAGCUUAUUAUUGAAAAGGCAUACAAUAGAAUACAAUAGAAAUAAUUUUUUAAUUUUUUCGUAGAUUGUAAAUAAGUAUACAUUAUUGAUGUAAAAUAUAGUUGAAAAUACUUUUUUGAUAAAAUUGGAAUAAACACAUUAUGGAUGGAAAUUUUUAAUACAAUACAAAUUGAUCAUUAACAAACUAAAUGACGAUUUACAUAAGAAAAAUUUAAAAUAAAAAAAUCAUCAGCUUUGUUGGCCCGAAUGUGUGCCACAACCCGGUGAGUGUCAGUUAUGAGUAGGAUUUCAUCGUAGUUGGGGUUCUAGCUCUUCCUUAUCUUCACCUCCACCUCCAACUUGAUCUUCACCUUCAUCUUGUUCCUCUGUGCUUGUAUGCAUUAAAUUCUUGCAAUACAGGGGAGAGAAACCUAGUUUUCCCGUAAGCUUAUUAUCAAAAAAGUUGAGCAGUUUCAGGUUCCAGCAAAUGGAAAGGGGCUCAGCGAUCUUACUCAGCCAAUAGUGAGCUAAGAAAUCUUUAAUGACAAUAUGGGUGCGGGUUUUCGAGGAAUACAAAUAACCUCUGGGUUUUUUUUCCAAAUUUGACAAGCAUCUAGAAUAACUAGUGAAUUACAAUUCUAUUGUACCACAAUAGGUGCAUUGGUCUUUGCGGACUUGAUGUUUUUUGCCUGUUGGUUCUAUUAUCACAAAGCAAACCCAAAAUUGGCUUGGUUCCGAGAUGUAGAAUCUAUAUUGAAUCACCAUUUAGCAAGGCUACUGGGGCUUGGUUACCUUUCUUGGGCGGGGCAUCAAGUACAUGUCUCUUUACCAAUAAACCAAUUUCUAAAUGCUUUAGUAGACUCUAAAGAGAUCCCACUUCCCCAUGAAUUUAUAUUGAAUCAUGAUCUUUUGGCUCAACUUUAUCCCAGUUCUGUCGAGGGAACAACCCCAUUUUUACCUUGAAUUGGUCAAAAUAUGCGAAAUUUCUUACUAUUCGUGGAUGAUUAAAUCCAGUGAUUGGGGGUCCAUGGUUGACUGGCAUUGCACACCAUCAUUUAGCUAUUACAAUUCUUUUCCUAAUAGUAGGUCACAUGUAUAGGACCAAUUGAGAUAUUGGACAUAGCCUAAAAGAUAUUCUAGAGGCUGUUAACCACCAGGUCGGAGGUUCAAGCCCACUUUGUAGCGUUUCACUUUUGGUAAAAUUUCAUCCUUGGUCCCUUUAAAUUCCUUUUUGCUUUAAUUUGAUUGCUUUCUAGACCAAGAAGCAGACCAAGCUGUAAGAGCCAUGCAAGCUGCACCUGAAGCUUAUGUUGCUGUUUUGUUACUUUCAAAUAGAUAUUUUAUUACUUACUUAGAUAUGAACUAAGUUGUUGAUAUGCUUGAACUAAUUAGGUGCUGAUAGAUUGAUAAAUCAGCUUUACCAAGUGUACAAGCAAUGUUUAUCAAGUUACUAAGCCACUUAGUGGAGUUAGGUAUGUGUUUAGGUAACAUUUUCUUAUUUUUGACCAGCUGAUUGCUUAGUAUAUGUAAUGGCAUUGUGCCUUCAUUCAAAUGUAAUGAAAUCUUUCAGAAAAUUCUUCUUCAUUUGGUCUUUACUUAAAACAUUUUUAUUCACAAAGCUCUUGCUGUUUUUGUUUUGUUUGUUGAGCUAGAUAUCAAUGCUUUAUGCUUAAGUUUCUGUCAAAAUUUCUAAUUUUGUUUUCUUAGUUCCUACAGACAUUUUGUUCUCCUUUCUCCUUGACUGAGCAGUAGCAAAGAUUAUUGAGACUAAAUUGAAAUCCAUGAAAGAAGACAUAAACAACACCACCAUACAAAAUGUUACACUCAAACAAACCAUUACAGAUAGUACGAAAUGCAAUGAAAGACAGAGGAAUUGGUACAAUAAUAAAGACAGACAGAUCCCAAUGCAACCCUUCACCAUAGGCAAAACGGUCUACAAAACAAGAAAUUAUGAAAAUACAACACUAAUUCUUGAACAUCAUUUGCAGUAAUUAGAUCCUUCUUCGUCUACUGCUACGAUUGCCUUUCUUUGACUUUCUUCUUCGCCUCUUCUCUUGUUGGUUUUCAACCAAAUUCACCAACCAUUUCGGCUUACCAGUUUGGAAAACAACAUAUCCCACGGACAUUCCGAACACCACUCCGCAUCCAUAACCUAUCAACACCACUUUCCAACCAAAAGCAAUGUUUGAUUUUGAGCCAUCUUUUUCAAGCACAUUUGGAGGUGCUGGCUCAAUGAUGUUGCAACCUUUCGAGACCGGAAAUCCACAUAGUCCCUUAUUCCCUUCAUAUGAAUCAUUUCCAAAUGUGUUGAAUAGUUUGCCUUGAGGAAUCUGACCAUGGAGUUGAUUUUCAGAAACAUUUAAGGACGAAAGAAAUGGCAGAUCUGCCAAUCUAUUUGGAAUCAUCCCAGACAACCUGUUUGAAGAUAGGUCCAACCAUUCAAGACUUGUCAAAUUCCCUAUUGAGGUGGGGAUAUCACCAUUAAGGUUAUUAUGAGAAAGGUUGAGCCCUUUCAGUAAGUUAAGCUUCCCAAUAACCUUUGGAAUACCCCCUUCAAACUGAUUGUUUGAUAGAUCAAUGAUCAUCCACAUGGUGAAAAUUUUCACCAAUUCCA
RNAcentral lists this long non-coding RNA (62525 nucleotides) under Gossypium raimondii (Peruvian cotton). RNAcentral's name for it is "long non-coding RNA (GRAI_LNC007870)". Lineage: Eukaryota; Viridiplantae; Streptophyta; Magnoliopsida; Malvales; Malvaceae. The record is from RNAcentral.